This 49315-nucleotide long non-coding RNA is filed under the name Homo sapiens (human). Its description in RNAcentral is "non-protein coding EGOT:10". Lineage: Eukaryota; Metazoa; Chordata; Mammalia; Primates; Hominidae. The record is from RNAcentral.
AGACAAACUAACUGAAGCCACAGCCGGAAGCAGGCUGACCACAAGUGCUAAGGUUCUGGUUCAAAAGAAGAGGCUGUUCUAAGAAAGACUACCGAGUAAUCAAUCACCUCCUCAGAGAAAGUCUGCUCAGGGACCAGCUCUGUGAACACGGCAAGUAACAACAGAGAGAAAACGUGAGGAGAAAAGAGAGACCGGGAUUUUGAAAUCCUGUUUCCUGAAUGCCAUCUCACCAGGCACACGAAAGAAUAAAAUUAAGGAAUCAAGAGCCAAGAAUUUUCUUAUUUUCUUUCAAAAGCUAAAGUCGUCUGGGGCAACUGUUUUCAUCGCUAACCCCCGCUAAUUUCUCCAGCUAUGGUAGUAUUGCUCUCCCUCUGUGGGAUCUAAAACAUGCCCUGUCCUUUUCAGGUUUUAAACCCCAGACCCAGCCGCAAACAGUCUUUUCAUGUCAGAUGAGUUGCUUCGCAACUCUGAGUCACAGGCCUCUUGUCUCUCAGAUGAGGGUUAUGCCACAGGACACAGGUUCCUCACUGGGAAUGGUGUGAGGACUAUAUCCAGGGAUAUUUCACGGCAGGGCCUCUGGAUCAACUGCUUUACAUUGGAGGCUGUUCAUUCUCACUGGUUUAUGCAGUAAGAGCCAUGCCUUGCUGUGUGCCUCAUUCCUUUCUCCAGCUGCAGAGGGUCUUGCUAAAACACAGAUUUCAUCACUCAUCUUCCAACAACCCCUGACCAUCCUCUGGACGAAGUUUAACCUCCUACGCCUGACAUAGAAGAUCCUUCAUGAUCUAGCCCUUUGUUUGUAUCUGUGGCUUCAUUUCUUGCCACUCUCCUUCCUUAUAAUCAUUAUCUCCCCAAACUUGCUGUUUUUUUCUUUUUACCUUUAAAGCCUUUAGAUGUACUAUUCCCUCUCCUUGGAAUAUCAAGAGUCUCCUUUUAUAGUUUGGAUAUCACUUUCUUGAUGAUACGCUUAGCCCAGUAGUAGGCCGGGUGCCUAACUUCUGUAUUCCAUCCUUAUUCCCAGCAUUGGGCAACUCUCUAGCAAUCACCAUUUGGCCUGCCCGCACCCUCCACUACAUUACUGUCUCUUAGAGUACACCACAGUCCCUGGCAAAUGGCGGGCACUCAGUAUAAAUCGGCUGAAUCACAUCAGAUCUUUUCUUCAGGUGUAACCUUCUUUUCCCUUCAUCUCCCUCCUCUUUCUCAGCCUUUCCCCUUUGCUAUAGCCUUACUCCUGAGCAGUAAAUUUAAUCUUCUUCCAACAUCACCUGCAUCAGCUAAGCCUCUGGAGGAGUCCGAUAUUAACAUGGGGCUUACAGUUAGGAGGUCCUACCUUCUCUGGGUGCAGGAGAGGAGCAGUUCUCCCCACUCUCCACCCUACACACAUCGGAGAACAGGAACUCGCUUGCCAAACUCUCGCCGGUUUCUGGGAGAGAGAAGGAAAUUUUAUGAUGAACAAUCUGGCAGCAUAUGGUUAAAAUGUUUGAAGUCCCCAAUUCACGGCUGAUUAAACAAUUCUUUACAUAAAUAACACCCUAGAAUCUUGCAUAUAAAUUCAAAGCAGAAAUGCAAUUUACACUUUCAUUUGGUGAUCUGGAUGGGAAAAAAGCCAAAAAUGUCAAUUCCUGUAGGCUUACUAGAAAUAUCGCACUUAAAUAGCACCUCUCCAACUUUAAAGACAAACAGCUGAAACUCUUAGACAGAUACUACUGAACGUACAGACUCUGGCAAGAUUUAUACCAAGUCUGCACGAGAAGCAUUAGCAGGCAUUAAUAGAAAUCCAAGGUCCAGGCCAGUUUAGUCCACAACUCUAAGAUGGCUGGCAGUAAAUGUCACUUAGUGUCAACUUGGGAGGCUGGAGAUACAUGCCAAGAACACAGCAUUUGGGAGGGAGAGCACAAAGGCUGGCUGGCUCAGUCAGCCACAACGAUUCUAGUCUGUUUCUUAGACUCGGGAUGAAAAACCAGUAGUAUUUCACUAAGUCGGGCCAACUAUUGUAACUGAGAGAAGAGGGCACUUGGGUACCAUUCAAGUAUUAUGGUCAUUUUUUUUCACUCUCAGAAUUGGAAAUCUCUUCUGUUCUUGCUAUGUGUAAAAAUAACAUGAGCUCACUGUAAAACCUGCAUAUAGUAAAAAAGCCCCAGAGAGAGCUACUGCUAGCAGUCUGGAGGUACAGUCAUCCAUGUUUUAAUAUAUGUAUAUGGGCUUUUUAAUUUUUAAGAAAACAUAAGACCAGGCAUAGUGGCCCACACCUGUAAUCCCAGCACUUUGGGAAGCUAAAGCUGGGGGAUCGCCUGAGCCCAGGAGUUCGAGACCAGCCUGGGCAACAUGGCAAGAACCUAUCUCUACAAAAAAUACAAUUAGCCACAUGCAGUGGCAGGCGCCUGCAGUUUCAGCUACUGGGGAGGCUGAGGUGGGAGGAUUGCUUGAGCUCGGGAGGUUGGAGGUUGCAGUGAGGUGAAAUCAUACCACUGCACAUCAGCCUGGGAGACAGAGUGAGAUCCUGUCUCGAAAAAAAAAAAAAAAAAGACAUACAUGUGAUCCUACUAUAGUUAUCCUUCUGCCAUUUCCAACUACAUCUUGUGGGUAUUUUUCCAUGGAGGUUUCUAAAGAUGUACCUAUGUGCAAGGCACCCCACCUCAUGGAUGUACCAUGAUCUGAUGAAACACCCCCGAACAUUUACACUGCUUCCAACUGUACACUGCAGCGAACGUUCUCCCAUAUAUGUCUGUUUCUACGUGCACAGUCGGCAGCCUUUUUUUCUUUAAGUAUUGAUCCUAGAAGUAGAUUUACUCAGUUAAAGGGAUGCAUACUCCAACGCUCUCAAUAUGUAUGGUCACUGCUUUACAAAAAAGUUGCACUAGUUUAAAAGAUGAUGUUAGUGAAUAAAUAAAUGUCAGAUCUGGUCACCCACUCUUAGCAUUUGAUAUGCCACAUUGCCACAUUCAUUGUGAGAAUGAAGACCUGUAUUUGAAAUUCACACUCUGCGUGUUAGGGAGAUACAAUGGGGAGAUAUCUGCAUUACUAAAGUCGUUAUUUUCUUUAGUUCAGUUAUAAUCAGGAAAUAAUCUUUUAGCAUUAAAAAGAUCAGAAGAUCCCAAACCCACCUGGAACAGCUGUUUCAUUGGGCAGCCUAUCUACUUCCAAGAUAAAGUCAUCCUUGAAGAAAAGAUAGCCCACUAUUGAGAACAGGUAAACGAGGAUCAGAGCCAGAACUGCUGUCAGGAUGAUGGACCGUCCAUUGCGAGUGACACUUUUAAUGACAUUAAGCAAAGUCUCUUCUCUGUACACUAAAUCAAAAAGCUUUGAAAACAAACAAAAAGAAUUUUAAGAAGCCUUGAUGUUAGAUGUACAUCACUAUCCCAUAAUGCAAACUUGGUUUAUAGAGAGUUUGCCCUCUUAGACACUCAAAAGCACUACAUAUGAUCUUAACACUGAACAUCUUCCCUGGCUUCACAGUGAAACGGAGAUGGUAAAAAUGAGGAAAAAUAAACACAGAAGAGGAAGCAGGAAACAAUAGCAACUUCAAGUAGUAUCCAGAGCCAUUUAGAGGGACUGGAAAUAGAGAAAAUACAUGCUUGUGCCAAUGAGUUUCAGAGACAAAGGGAGAGGAAAGUGAUGAGGGUCUUGGCAUCCAUUCAUUUAGAAGGUACUGAAUUGAGUUUAUGAAGAGCCAGCCACCCUGGUCCCUGCCCUCCUGCAGCCCAGUGUCUGGUGGGAAGGCAGACGUACUACAAGCCAGCGUCAGUGGCAAGAACUCUGGACUUAGAUGUAAAUUCAAAUCUCAGCUCAGCUACUGUCCACCGUAUGAUCUCGGGCUAGGCACUUUCCUCAUCCCCUCUGAGUCUCCAUUUCCUCAUUUGCAGACUGGAGGAUGUAGAGUUGUUAUGAAGAAUAAGUAAACCACGUACGCACAGUGCUUAGCACACUGGCAUCCAUAUGCUCAGUAAGUACAGUAAAUAGUAAUUAUCAUCAAUUUCCUGAUCAAGAGACUGGGGCAGGGUCACAUAGCUGGUGUAUCGCAGGGACAUUAGUGACGUUAACAUUGCGAGGGUAAGACCCCUGCAGGUCACAGUGCCUUCACAAUCCAGGCUUGCCCUCUGCUAAGGAACCUGCUCUUUGCAAGAAGUUGGCUUCCUGAGGAAUGGAGGAUCCUUGUAGGUACAUAUAGGUAUGGGAGGAUGAUGGCUAGUUUUCCAAGAGCUACAGUCACAGAUACUUGACUGGGAGAAUGGUGGGGAGUGUGGGGAGAGAGCUCUCUGAAGUUACUCUUAGACCUGAGGCUAGUUUUUAGCAUGGCCUCUGGCUGCUGUCUAAUCCUGUACAGAAGGUUUGGUCUCCACUGUGGCUUUGGGGUGUGACUGCACCAUGAAGUGAGUCAGGGGACAGGGUUGAAUCCUGACUGCUUUUAAUUUGUUGCAAGAUGUCGGCCAAGCCAUCUAAGCUCUCUGGAUCUGUUUCCUCAUCUGUAAAAUAAGUGGACUGAGACAGCUGAUCUCUGAGUCCCUUCCAAUUUAGAAUUUUUCAUCUGAGGUCAUUUUCCGGUCGAUUGGCUUUUCUGCCUCCUUGACACCAAUCUGUGUUCUGAGACUAGUUCUGUGAAGGGCAUUGGGUAGAGUAGGAUACUUAAAGGGAAGCAAGGAAGAGGGAUUUUAGUCAAUACAAUAUGACAGAAGGCAAAGUGUUGCUGUUAAUGUUGGUUAAAUGUUUUCCAGCAGCUCAAUAUAAAGUGGCAAGUAAGCGCAACUUCAGACAACAAACAAAUGGCACUUGUUUUCUGUGGUUAAGGACCGCAGAGAUUACACAGGCUCCAAAUCAUAGAAAUGACAAGCGAUUUUUUCCUUUUCACUCAUCUAUAGUUUCUGAUUUUAAAACAAUCAAUAAGUAUUAUUUAUAUAAAAGAAAAGCUUUCUUCUAAUUGGAAAAUUAUACAUGUUCAAUGGAGAAAACUUGGAAAACAAAAAAAAGCACAAAGGAAAAAAAGUCACUAAUAAUUCACCAUCUAGAGACAUUCGCUCAAUAGCUUAAUUCCUUCUGGCCUUAAAAAAUGCAAUUUAUAGAUAUAUAUUGUUUACAAAAAUAUUAGACCAUAAUACUGGCACAUAACCAGCCUUUCACCAAGCCAUCAGGAACAUUUUCCUGUCAAAAAUGAUCACCUGGUAUUUCACUAUAUGGGAAAAACAUGAUUAACAUAACCAAUAUGUUUUUUAAAAACAGUCAAGAUGUUUCCAAUUAUAUGUCAUAACAAAUAAUGCUGUGAGGAACACUUCUAUACAUGCCUCCAUACGUGCUCGUCUAGUUAUUCCUUUUCGGCGAAUUUUUGGAAAUGGAGUAUUUGAGUCAAAUGGUAUAAGAGAAACAUUUUGCCUGCUGCUUUCAGAAAGGCAGGAUCAGUUUACAUUCACCACUAGUAAAGAAUCAUGCCCAUUUUACCCCACUCUCACUAGUACUGGGCACCAUCAGGCUUUUUAACCUUUACUAAUGUCACAGGUAAAACACAGGAUUGCGCUGUUUUAAUUAGCAUGUCUUUGUUUAGCACCAAGGAUGAACAUUUUUCCAUGUUUACUGACCAUCUGGAUUUCUGCUUUUGUUAACUGCCUGCUUAUGAACUUUGCACAUUUUCAUCUCCAGGUGUUAAUAUUUUUCUAAGGACACAGCUUUAAUGCAGGCUCACGACCAGGUCCGGCCAGUCUUUGUGGGGGAGGGGGGGCAGCAGUUUAAUUAGGCCACCAGAUCACCCUCCCUACCUUCCGGCCUGCUGGCAUGGAGGGAGCUCUCCCAACUCUGGAACACAUGGGUGUUCCCUGCUCAGGUCUCUCUCCUUUUACAGGCAGCCCGAUUUCUUUUGGUUGCAGGCUUUCCUUAUUAGUAGAAUAAUUUGAAGUGUCAGUGUUUUCUGGUUCUUACCAGACACAUUGAGUACUGCUUUGAUACCAAAAGGAGCACAUCACUUGAAGACACAAACAAGUCAAGGUCCACACAGCUUAGAAAAUCCCCCCGCAAAGCACAGGAGAGGCAGCCAACCAUAAUCUGGUUUGAUCCUAUUGCGUUUCCUAAAAGUGAACUGAGGUAGCAUGAUCAGAAGCUGAGAGUUACUCUUAUCUUUCUGUGAUAGGUUGGAGACUUGAAAGCACAGAUGCAAACUGGAACGUGAAAUGCCAGUUUCACUGAUGCAAGGACUUUUUCACAUGCUUGAAUAAAAGGCAGUGUCAACUUGGGAAUCAACAGAGUUGUGAGGCUCUCCUGCCUCCACCAGUUACUGACAGUGUGACUCUGAGCAAGUUACCUAACCUCACCAAGCCUCAGUUUCCUCAGGUGUAAUUGGAAGAUACCAUCUACCUCAAAGGUGGUAGUGAGAGUGUGUAGAGAAGAGUGCAGGGUGACCACUCACAAAACGGCUGUCCCUGUAAUGUGCUCCUGACUGUGAGGCCUAUGAGGGUAGGGACUGUGUUCCUCUCACCAUUAUGUGCCCUGCGUCAGGCACUGGCACUGGCCUGCAUUGCAAGUGAUGAAGAGAAGAGGACUCAAAUGAACAGAAAAGAAGCCAAGCCAACUGGAGGCAGAUUGGAGGAAAGGUCGAAGUGUCUACUGGGGCAAGGUGGCGUUGACCAAAGGGGCAUCUCCUGUCUCUUGGGAGAGAGCCCUUGGCAGGGAUGAGAGAGACCACCAACUGAACUCUGCCGCCCUCCCAAGGGAGGACAGGAAUUUGUUGUCCAGGGACAUGAUGGCAUGAGACAAAAAGUUCCAGAAACAGACGUAAGUCUCUAAAGGUUUCUGAUACAAAGUGACCAAAAUAGGCGACAUAAUGGGAAUCACAAGGAUAUCCUGAGACCUCUUUGCCUAAAACCUCAAAAUAUAGCCAGACCUAUUUUAAGAUGAGGGAAAAGAAUCCAUUCCCUUUAGCCUGCCAAAAUCCACCCCUAAUGGUAUGAGCUAAUCCUAGUGAUCUGAACGGUGAAUUCCUUAUGGUGUUUUGGACGGGGGAAGGAAUAUAGAAUGACAAAGACAAUAAAAUAGCUGGCAAUCAUUCGGCAGUGCUAUUCUAAGACCCUGACCUGAACAGCUGCAUGUAAUCCCUGUGACGGCCCUGUGAGGGAGAUACACUGUUCUCAUUUUGUAGAUGAGGAAACUGUGGCACAAGGCAGUCAAGUACGUUAAGCGAAGGGAGCAUCUCACACAGUUGCAUUUUGUACUUUCAAAUCUCUAACCUAUUGCAGAAAGAUAAGAGUAACUCCCAGCUUCUGAUGCUGAACUGCUCCUCAGUUCACUUUAAGAAAACGCAAUAGGAUCAAACUAGAUCGUGGCUGGAUGCCUCUCAUACGCGCUUCGGGGGGGUUUUCUAAGCAUCUCCCUGAAGAGCUUCCCUUGCUCUGCCUUUUGUAAGCCCCCCUCUCUUUGUAAGCCCCCCUCUCUUUGUAAGUCCCCCCUCUCUUUGUAAGCCCCCCUCUCUUUGUAAGCCCCCCUCUCUUUGUAAGCCCCCCUCUCUUUGUAAGUCCCCCUCUUUGUAAGCCAACCCUUAGGCCUUGAUCAUUUUUGUCCUCACAAAUAUUUUAAUAUUCCUAGGCUGUUUAUGGUGUUGCUUGCAGAUAGGUCAGUUUUAUGCUUCCUGUCAUUUUAUGUAGGCACAAGAAAAUGGUUUCUUAUCUACAACGCCACAGGUCUAGAUUCCCUCCAACUACAGGAAAGUAAGUAGUUCCUUGAUUUGUCAUUUAAAAACCUGCUCAGGAGGAAGGUGAUGGAACCAGCUUGUCUUACAGACUGUCAAGACAUUAAGCACUUGGCUCAUAUCGGAGGAAAAUGAGCUACUGAAAGGGUCUCCUAGACCAAUAAAUCUACUGAGCUCAUGAUCAUGAAUCCCGGGGCUUCAAAACUAGCUCCUACUCUUAUGGUCGCUACACGUGUUCACAAGAAAUGGACUCCCUGAGAGCUGUUGGAUGACAGCCUCAAAAACACUCCUCUUGGUGUAAGUGCGGCUGAGUCUAAGAAGUAAAGAAAAACAAAGGUGCAUGGAAAGGAAACAUCUCCUGAACCUACUACAGGCAUGUUCCAUUACUGAGAAGUAACAGAUCGGGAGUGCCCAGUACACAGUGCGGUUGUGUGACUCUUGAAUUCCUGGGCUGACCCAAUUCCUGUGGAGCUUUCCUCUCAGAUCCCCCAAAGGCUGCCAACUGUGGAGCUUCAAUCUUGGUGGACCAGGCACACCAAUCACCAUUAAAAGGAAGGGUCUGUGAUGAGAGAGAGGACAUAGGACACUCUCCUAGUUUCCCCACACAUAAAAUAUUUCCACACCAGGUACUCACCAGCAGACUGUAGAAGAAUUCAUGGACAAAGAGCCCCAUGGCACAGAUCACCAGAUACAACAAAUGAUAGAGGAACUCAACAUCCAGAACCAUGGCUCGGUAGCCUCUUGUGAAUGUCCCACAGUUGCCCACAAAGCUCAUUAGAAAGAUGAUUUUAUUGCAUACCUGAGAACAAUGACAGGAACAGUCAGAUGGCACGGACUGUGCCAAACUCUUCAUGAGAGCAACGAGAGCAUCUCACACAAAUGUAUUUCAGUCACCGUGCCCAAACAAACGCUUCCUUUUCCACCCGGUGCCCACCAAACCCGCCAAGACCCAUUUGCAGAUCUAAGUCAUUUCAUUACUUUGCUUUUCAGGCAUAUUACAAAUUACAUGGUAGUCAAAUAACUUCAUGCGCAACAGUAAUCAAGUAGCAUUUCUCUAUGGCAAAAACAAAAUUAACACAUACUGAGAUUAUGAUUUUCAAAAUGAGAUAUGAAUCAUUUCUAACAUUCUUGUAUGAGUUAGUCAAACACAGAAGUCACCUCAAUCCACGAACCCUGUGAUCAGCAUGAUCAAAAGCAUUUUCUGAAUUUGUUACAUUCUAGGCACUGUAAGGUGGCAAUUUAAUGAGCAGUGAUCAGUUCUUGCCUUUCAAUGCUCCUAAGUUCACAGGGAAAACAACAAUUUUCUUGGGGGAAAAAAAAUAUAAGGGACUUCAGGAUGAGUUCUAUUCCCCUGCCCUCUCUUCUGGGAAUAACUUCUAAUUUUCCUUUGGGGACCAUUCCUCUCUGAGUAGCAGUCUUUGAGGUCUGGGUGGGGCUCCAACCUGGCCAUCACAAUAUUGUAUUCCCCUGGGUACAAUGACUGGUUUAGAGAUAGACACAGGACCAAAUGGAGCCAAUGAUGUCCACUGAGCUCUUUCUUGGGAUUGCAGCCAAAGAUAAUUUUGUUCUUUCCCACUGACCUUGAACCUGAGCAGCUGUGAACUCUGGAGCUGCCACAUUACCAACACUGAAGGCACCACCAGCACUGGGGACACAGAGCCAAAAGAUGGCAAGGAGGAACUGGGCCCUGAGGACACUGUGUGAGCCCCUGUAUCAGCUGUGCCUGAAGCGAGGCUGUUGGUUUCUUGGUCAAAAUGAACCAAUACAUAUUCUCCUUUGCUGAGGCUAGCAUGGAUUAGGUUUUCUGACAUCUGCAACUGAAGGAGUCCUAACUGAACUACUGUGCAAUAUAGUCUCACCUUUGAUAGAAACCCCAAUGCCUGGAAGUCCAUCUCUAGCAAUAUGUUGACAGAAAAACUUGGCUCAGGAGGAGGCCAGAGAGGGACCUCUCUGGAUGCACUUGGUAAAACCAUCUUCUGCUACUCUAGCUCCCUUGGCCACAGGUGCGGGGGAAAUACUGCCAGUUAAUCUGGUAGGUCGGUGUAAGUGAGCUUCUCGGCAAUCAGAUAAGCGAGGAAGCCGACACCCACAGAUCGCUGCUGGCUUUCUCAGACAGGCUAAGCAUUCAAUCUGCCAAUUUUUUCCAAAAUUCUCACCUUUGCUAGUGGAGGGGAUUUCAGAGGGUGGGAAAGUAUCACUGAUUCUGGAUGAUCCAUGAUGAUGUGGUUUCAGGGAGAGGCAGAUGGUGCCCUGGGUGACAUCACACAUUACAGCACCUCAAACACACCCCAGAUCCUGCCAACUUAACAACAGGGUGAUCCACUUCACCUGAGUCCAUUCUCCCCUCUAACUUCUGCCCUAGUUUUCUCCAUUGCUUCCCCAGGAAAUAGCUGCUAUUUGUGGUCUCAGCCUGCGGCUGGACUCUGCUUGUUAGUCUUAGAUCUGGCUUCCAUCCCCACCUCUCAACAGAGACAGCUCAUGUGAAGUCUCCAAGGAUUCUGCGCACCCAGCAGUCUUCCCGUCUGCUCUUAGCAUCUUUCCCAGCUCCCUGCGGCGUGACAAGUCUCCCAGCGCACCCUGCUCACCACUCUCCCAGCUGGGCUUUAGGACCCCACCUUCUCCUCCUCCAGCUCUCAGAACUCCAAUAUUCUCUCUCUGUCUCCGUCCACAGGUACUUUCCCUCUCCCAUACAUUCCAUGUGGGUGUUUCUCUCUUUUAAAAUUCACUCUAGGCGGGGCAUGGUGGCUCACGCCUAUAAUCCCAGCACUUUGGGAGGCCGAGGCGGGUGGAUUGCCUGAGCUCAGGAGUUCGCGACCAGCCUGGGCAACACGGUGAAACCUCGUCUCUACUAAAAUACAAAAAAUUAGCCAGGCAUGGCGGCACACACCUGUAGUCCCAGCUACCUGGGAGGCUGAGGGAGGAGAAUUGCUUGAACCCAGGAGGCGGAGGUUGCAGUGAGCCGAGAUUGUACCACUGUACUCCAGCCUGGGUGACAGAUCGAGACUCUGUCUCAAAAAAAAUGUAAAAUAAAAUUUACUCUAAAUAAUUAUUUAUUAUAGCUGUUUGCCCCCUACCAGCUUAUGUUGUUGUAAAUGGUAAUUAAUUAUCUCAGUUGAGUCUUUCCCCCAACUGAUUUGUGUUAAAGAAGUGAUAACUGUGGAAUGAUUAUCAGAGAAGGCCAGAGAAGAAAAGAACUAGACAGCCCAUAGAAGACAGCCUCUGAAAUACUGAACAUUUUUUCUACCUAGUUGUUUAUGUAAUUCUUUUGUAUUUCUUUCUUAAAUGGUUUCCUCUCACUGCAGGCAAUCCCUACAUUCCCCUCCCCACACUGAUCUCUCUCUGUAGUUCUGGUCAUGUAUUUCCAAAUGCCGCAGCUCACGUUAACAGCGUGUCUUUCCACCUGAAGCCCAGUAGGUCAACGAUGUAAAUGCAUUUUCACCCUGAAAAACUAAAUCUUUGCAUGACUUCAUUUUAGAUGGCCACAUUAUUCUUCUCCCAAUCAUUUGUGACUGAAAAUUUGGAGUCAUAUUUGCCUCCUUCAUUACCCAAUCAAGACAGUGAUACCCUCUUUGUCUGAAAAAGGGACCCAGAGUGGCAGUAUGGUUUGGUUCUGUGUCCCCCCCAAAUCUGUUAACUUGUAAUCUCCAGUGUCAGAGGUGGGGCCUGGGGGGAGGUGACUGGAUCAUAAAUAGUUUAGCGCCACCUGUCCCGGAUACAGUAUAGUGAUAGAGAGCUGGUUGUUUAAAAGCGUGUAGCGCCUCCCCAUCCGCUUCCUCCUGUUCCAGCUCCAACUUUGCUGCUUUUACUCCGCCAUGAGUGAAAGCUCCCUGAGGCCUCCCCAGAAGCAGAUGCUGCCAUGCUUCCUGUACAGCUGCAAAACCUCAAGCCAAUUAAACCUCUUUUCUUAUAAAUUACCGAGUCUCAGGCAUUUUAUAGCAAUGUGAGAACGAACUAAUAGAAGCACAUUGCUUUCUGGGUGGGGUAAGGCUCUGACUCUGUGCCCACCAUGUGUUACUAUUUCCUCAUCUCUCUUUCUCUCUUUCUUUCUUUCUCUUUCUUUCUUUCUUUUUUUUUUUAAUCAGUCUCAUUCUGUCACCCAGGCUGGAGUGAAGUGGCACCAUCUCAGCCCACUGCAACCUCUGCCUCCCAGGUUCAAGAGAUUCUCGUGCCUCAGCCUCCCAAGUAGCUGGGAUUACAAGCAUGCAUUACUAUGCCAGGCUAAUUUUUGUAUUUUUUUUUAGUAGAGAGGGGUUUCACAUGCAUACUGGCCAGGCUGGUCUUGAACUCCUGGCCUCAAGCAAUUUUCCCGCCUUGGCCUCCCAAAGUGCUGGGAUUACAGGCUUGAGCCACGGUGCCCAGCCUGUUUCCUUCCCAUUUCUGACGUCCAUACCUUCCUUCUUUCUUCUACACUAUGUCCAAGACUCAGGCUUCUCAAACCUAAUCAAAGCGUCGCUACAGCCCCUAAAAAGCCUCCUUGCCUCUAGUCCCUCCUGAUGAAUCCACAUAACAAGCCAUACUGAAUGCAUUUUCUCAAGAAUACUUCUUUGUAUGGACCAUUUCUUGGCUCAAAAACACCACAGGCACUUUCCACUACUGGGAACAGAGUUUCCAACAUACAUUCUAUACAACACUAAUCUCAAGUGAUACUUACAAAAAACUGCAGGAAAAUAAGUUUGGGAAACAGAAAGACACUGUUUUCCUUGGAGGUUCCUAAUCCAUAUUAGUACAUUAAAGUCUGUGAGGAAGCCUGCAGUAAUGAAACCUUUCAUUGUGUUUACCUCAGCAUUUUUCAUGCGGAUUCAAUCACGGAACCCUUUUUUCACCUCAUAUUUAUCAACGUGGAAUAUGCUCUGGGAAUGCUGACCUGGGGGAUGAAGUCCAGUUGCUUUAUCCUAAAAUUCAGUGCUGCAAGUGACUUACACAGGAUCAGUUCCUACUGAUCACUACUGAACCACGAAUGAGGUGAAACUCUUUAUUUAUUGUCUGUUGAUAACAUCCCGAGCUUUCCCACUGUUCUGCUCUGGCCUAUGGGGCCCACGAAACCAAAGAACUCUUCUCAAUCCCCGCUUCAUGGCCAGAUCCUCUCCAUUCCCUUUUUUUUAAAAAUUAUUUAUUUAUUUGUUCAUUUAUUUAUUUUUGAGAUGGAGUCUCCCUUUGUCACCCAGGCUGGAGUGCAGUGGUGCCAUCUUAGCUCACUACAACCUCCACCUCUCAGGUUCAAGUGAUUCUCCUGCCUCAGUCUCCCGAGUAGCUAGGAUUAUAGGCGCAUGCUACCAAACCCAGCUAAUUUUUGUAUUUUUAGUAGAGAUAGGGUUCUGCCAUGUUAGCCAGGCUGGUCUCAAAUUCCUGAUCUCAAGUGAUCUGCUCACCCUGGCCUCCCAAAGUGCUGGGAUUAUAGAUGUGAGCCACCGAGCCUGGCCCUCCAUUCCUUAAGCCCUAACUUCCAUCCUGCCUCCUCCCCGCUGUAAGCUUUUCAGCUUGACAUGACCUGUUCUCUAAAGUCCUUGCUGCCUGUGCCAUUUGAAUACUCCCUUUGGGGCUUUUGCUGUUGCACUGAAUUACUAUAUUAUUUUGCGAUAUCACUUCCAGUUUUGCAUGGGACCUCAGCUUCCUUAUAUACUCAGGGCAGAAACCCCUGGAAGGCAUUUUUAGAUCCUCCAGUGCCUCACAUGUCCAAAUUUUCUCCUUCCCUUCACAAGGAAACCUCUCCAAUGUAUGGUUUUAUAUCAGUUUGUCCUAAGAAUUCUCCCAGAGAUGAAAUUGGCUUCUAUCUUUCAAUGGUAGUGAAACAGCAUUUCUAAAUGUCACCACUGACUUUUAAAGAAUUGUCUCUGCUUCUCCUCUUCCCUCUCCACCUGCCCUGUCUCUGUAUUUGGCCAGGCCCUCUUACCUAUCCCCUCUUUUCUAUGUGGCCCUUUCCAGAAGUGGGUACGGUGUUAAUAUUUGAUCAUUUCACUUAUUGUCUAAAAUCUUCUGUCCCAACAAACCUUUGACCAGAUUGGCAAAACUAACUUAAAUCUCAAAGCACUACCACUUUUUCUGCCUAUCUCCUGACAGGGAUAGUCCCUAAAAGUGAAAGUGCUGAUGCCCAAGGGAUCCAUUACAAGGCUCACUGCACCACGCGGAGGUCAAGAGGGAGACGUCCACCUGCAGCCAUCCCCUGCUUCUGGCUAUUUAAACAGUUGCCCCAAACAAUAAUUUUCUGGACUGAAAGCACAGGCCAGGAUUCUAGAAACCAGAGUGCAAGGCAUUCCUAUUAAUCUGCAAACAAAACAGUGGCAAGGAAGGUAUUCACACUUACAUUGAAAGCGCCCAGAAGAAACAACGUGGGUUGUAACCCGACUGAAAAUAUCAGUCGUAGAAUUGUGGAGGCAAUUAAGGCCCGGAUGCCAUGGGGCUUGGGGAGGGCAAUGACGAUGGCCAGAGAGAUGAGCAUGGCUGUCCACAGGAGUCCCGACCAGUGGGGCUCCAGGGUUCCUGCAAGGACAAAACAGGGUUCUCUCACAAAUCUGUGCCUUCACUGAGUACAGGGGACAGACCUAAAACAUGCACUGUUACAGAUUCCUCAAUAACUUUUUUGGCUUACCAGUCCCAACUCUCACCUCAAAUUCUCUGCCCCAUCCAUAACCAGUCCCAUCAGCAUUUUUUGACCUCCAAGCCUCCACACAUGCUCCUUCUGCUGGGAAGUUCUUCCCUUCUCAUUCAUCUCAGGUCUUAGCUUUGACAUUACUUCUUCCAGGAAGCCUCCCCCAAUCCCCUUCCUCCCCACAAAAACAUGUCAGGAGUUCCCUCCUCCUCCGUACUCCCUGCUUCCAGUCAUCCCUACAGGACACUAUUUCCUAAUGGUCAGUUUACUUGUCUCUCUCUCACCAGAUUGCACAUUCCCCAGGGGAAGUACCUGGUGCCUGGCAGGUACUCACGAAAAGCUCGUUCGAGAAAUAAAACUCAUGCAUGUGUCACACUUCACUCAAAGAAGGCGACGUGGAAGCCUAAACUUAAUUUCUAUUAAAAGUAUGCAAAGGAAAACUGCAGGUCCCCUGCCUGAAUCAGAUUUCUCCAAGGGAAGGAGAAAGGCAACUUCCGUGUCAUGAGCAUCAUGCUACAAUUAGAUUAUCCCUGCAGUCAAAGAGCUUAUACCAAUUUUUGUCAUCUCUUGCUACUGCAAGUUCUAUUUAGAGUGUCCCACGAGACGGCUUGGUUAUAUAACAUGAGCCAACACGGCUAAAAAUAUAGUUCUGUAAAACACUCAUUAAAAAAAAAACACCCCUAUUUCAAAUGCUGUCACAUUUUGAGUCUCCUUCAGAUGUAAACAAGCAGCACUACAUGAUUAAGGCCACUUAUAUAAAGGAGCUUCACUUCUUCAGAGAUGCUUGGAUUGUGGCACCACUGGGGAGGAGACACCUUUGCAGGGCACAGCUCUUCCACCAGCUGCUGGCUGCCCUAGUUCAUUGAGUCCACGCCUGCGGAGAUUCAGCCUCACUUUAACAACUGUUCCCCCCAGCCCAGCCACUUACCUCUUCCCUUUUGAAAUCCUUCAAAAGGCAAAGCUGAUUGGGAAUGGGGACAAAGAGGCAGAGGUUUCUCAGAAAUUCAAGAAGUGCACAUUGAGGCACAUGUGCCGCUUUCUACGCAUUUAACAAUUGUUAGACAUCGUGUCAAGCCCUUGAUGUUGAUGAUCAUUUAUUCAUCCUACUGUCCCCGGUCUACUCUAAAGGAAACUGAGUCUCAGGUUACAUUUCUUGCCCAAAGUGAUGCAGCAAAUGGCUGCAGACCAUUUGCCUCUGAAGUCGAUGGUCCUUAAUCAAUAUUUUAAAAAAUCCAUGCAUUUUAAGUGUAAAAUUUGGUGAAUCUUGGCAGUUUAUAUAGUCAUGUGACCACCGCAUGUAAUUGUCACCACAGUCAAGAUACAGAACAUUUUUAUCACUCUAAAAGUCUCCUUGUGCCUCUUUGCAGGUGAUGCCUUGCCCCAUCCCUACCCCCAGCUACCACUGAUCUAAUAGUGUCAGUCCCUAUAGCUUUGCACUUUCUAGAAUUUCAUAAAAAUGGGAAAAUAAUCCUAUCAGGUAGUCCUUUGUGCUUGACUUCUUUCACUGAGCAAGUUUUUAAGAUGCAUCCAGGUUACCAUGUAUGUAUUGAUACUUUGUACUUUUUAUUGCUGACUAUAUUAUAGUAUGGAUAUAUUACAAUUUAUUUGUCCAGUUAACAAUCAAUGAGUUUCCAGUUUGGAGUGAUUACAAAUAAUGCUACUAGAAACAUUCAUGUUCAAUUCUUGGAGUGGACAUAUUUUCAUUUCACUUGGACAAACAUAGAGAAGUAGAAUGUUGGAUCCUACAGAUAUGUUUAACUUUAAAAGACAAUACCAAACUGUUUUCCAAGGUGAAUGUAUCACACUGCCUUCCCACCAGCCGUGUAUGACAGUUCCAUCUGAUCCACAGCAUCACCAAUACUUGGCAGUGCCCAUCUUUUUCAUUUAGUCAUUCUAGUAGGUUUGCAGUGGUAUGGUGUGGUGAUUUUAAUUUACAUUUCCCUGAUAACUAGUGAUGCUCAACAUCGUUUCAUGUGCUUACUGGCCAUUCAUACAUCUUCUUCUGUGAAGUGUCUGAUCAAAUGCUUUGCCCACUGUUUUAAUUGAAUAGUUUUUUUAUUGUUGAGUUGUAAGAGUUCUUUACAUAUUCUGGACAUAAGCUUUUUAUCAGAUAUAUAUUUUGCAACUAUUUUCUCCCAGUCUGUGGCUUAUCAUUUUCUGAAAUGCUUAAUGCCAUUUUAAAUGGACUCUUAAGAUGAUCUCAGUAUCAUCAAUGUGACCAGUACAAUGUAUGUCCCAAAUCCUGAAGAGGCCAAUGUAAAAAUGCUGUCUCCUCACUAUAACGGCAGUGUUAAAAAACAUAGUGCUAGAUUCCAAAAAAUCAACUCUAGAAAGACAUCUUUGAGACAGUUGGAGAAAUCUGAAUUUGGGCAGGCUAUUACAGGAUUUGCUGUUAGUUUUGUUAGAUAUGAUAAUGGCAUGGUGAUUAUACAUAUUUUAAAAUGUCCUCAUAAGUUAUACACUGAAAUAUUUAUGGACAAAAAAUCCAAGAUGUCUAGACUUCUUUAAAAUGUUUCAGAAAAUAUAGUAUGGGGAUAGAUGAAACAAGAUAGGCAAAAUUGUUAAAGCUGGCUGAUAGAUAUAUGGUAGCUCAUUAUACUGUUCUUUCUACUUGUGUGUAUAUUUGACAAUUUCAAUAAUAAAAACAUUUAAAAAGUAGUACUACAUUUGCUUUAGCCAUCACGGCAUGCUCACAAAUUCAGUAAGCAAUCUGAAGCUGCCUGAGUUGCACGCUUUUGAAAGACUGUAACUUGUCAGUUCUAAAACAAAGGUGGAGGGGCGGUGAUACUUUUGAAAAGGAGCUUUUAAGGCCACUGGUUCUUGGCAGUUGCAAACCUUGUAAGCCACAGAACCACACAAAAUCAGCACACAUAAUACGGCCAUUAUACACAUUCAAGAGGGACAUUAUGAAAUCUUGCCUUUAGGAUGCAACAAAUCCUAACACAUAUUAGCUCAAAGAAAUACUUUCAGGUCAACAAACCAGAUCUUGUUUCUAGGCAGGGUUAAUACAACUCUUCUACUGAGGAUGGUUAGCAGUGAGUAUAGGAAAUGCCCUCAAUGCAUCUUACAAAAGGAAAAAAGAAUCCCUCUGAGAGUGAACUGAUGCACUUAAGGCAGUAUCAGCUACUAGAUAAUGGAAAAGGCUUCCUUGGGUCAUAUCAGCCUCAGGUCAAAUCUCCUCGGAGCUCUGAAUUAUGCUCUCAGUUUAGUCCCUCAGCAUGAAGUUCUAAAGCCCAUGAUUCCAAACCAUGCAUCCUUGCCUCCUGCAGACCAGCCUGAGUUGGUGGCUCAUUCAGAAUGCACCAUUUUAGAGUUGGAAGGACCCUCGAUAGUCAUACCAUCCAGGGGAUCUCAAGCUUGGAUGGGCAAGAAACACAUGCUCUGGAGAUCUUGACUAGUUUGCCAACUGUUCUUCCCCGGGUUCUACAGGAUUUUCUGAAGCCAUAUCAAAGUUUUCUAACCAUGGGCUUAAUGUAAACAUCUCUUCACAUAAAGGAUGACAAGGACUUGCUGAAGUGGCUUGCCCAGAGUGGCUUGGCAAAUGGGCGGCAGGAGCCAGGCAGAGACCUUAAGUCUCUGGACUUCCUAAGUCUAAGAAAGGCACUGCAGGAGGCUUGUCAAUGAAGGGUGGGGGGCUGUUAACUCCCUGUCCCCAGAACUGGCCUGAAUGCUGCCACAAAUGACCGGUGAAGAAAACAGACGUGGCGAAUAAUAAAAUCUGUUUGAAAUAUUUUUAAGGCAAUGGAGAGUAAAUGAAAACACAGACAAGGUAAGGGUUGAAUAAUCUGCCGUGAGGAACAUGACAACUUCCCUGAGGCGAAAGGAGACCUGGGCCUCCUCCGCCGCCGCCAGCUGAGCUCCUCACUAGCCCUCUGCCACGCACUCCUCUGCUGUCUGGCAGCAGGGUUAAGGUGGACAUCCCCAAAGAGAAAACCUUGCAGCUCUGGGUUCUAGUCAAAUCUUUUUAGACAUAGACACGGGCAUUCAUGUUUCCUGACAUGACAUUAAAAAAAAAAUCCCCCCUGGACUUGUGUUUAGAUUGUACUUUUCGGAGCGGGGGCAUUCAGAUGGUGCCUUCCACGUAACUUAAGGUCAAACAGAAAAGCUAACUCCUCAAAAGGGUAACUUAGGCAUAUAAGCAUUACAUAACAUCGCUUUCAAGUUGGUCCUUAAACUGACUCAUUACCCAUACAUGUCUGCUUCCGUUGAUGUCUGCAUGAUUAAGCUAAAGAGUGGAGCCUGAAACUUACUCCUGUGUGGUUUUUGGGCUCUUUAUCCCAUUCUCUGUCACAUAAGGUGGUUCCUGGCAGGUUGUUCUAUGCGUAUGUGAGGUGAUCUGCCAAAAAGCUCUGAUGAAAAAUUUAGCCGGGAGGUGGACCUCCCAGGUGGCUGCUGUGGAUGUCAGAAAAGGGGCCAUGAAUGUAUCACAGAAGAGGAGCUUUGAAUGCUUGUCGAGGGGCCCCAAAUAGCAAAAUGCCCACCUCCAAAUUGUCUGCCUUUUCUCAGCAAAAUGUGUAGCCUGGAAGGAGGUAGGCUGGGGGGAACCCAGAAAGACCAUAAUCAUCAUGUUUUGUUAUGUGAAUAAUGGCAGGUACCUCUUAAUAGACUAAACAUUGUACAGUCUGCAGUCAUUCAAGUCCUGCCUCCCCUCUGACCCCUGGCAAAAAAAAUAUUCCAGAGAUUUCUUACAAAUUCUUUAGUCUGAAAUCAAUUCCAGAAGUGCGGUGUGGAAACACAUAUACUGGACUGAGCAUCAAGACGUCUACGUUUUAGGGUUAGCUCUGCCAUUAGUUAGCUAUGUGACUUUGGCCUGAUUUCUUAACUGCUCUGAGACAUAGUUUCCUCAUAUAUAAAAGAAGGGGCUGAUUAAGAGACUUUCUCACAGGUUUAAUAGUAUCUAGCUGCUUCUCUUUCUUUCCUGGUUAAAAAAAAUGGAUAAAAAAGUUAAAUUAUUUUAAGUUAGAUUUAAAACUAAAUCUAUGGUAACAGCUACAAUCUCCUCUUGUCUGAAUGUGGAUAACUGGGAUCCCCAGUACUGCACCAAUACAUCCAGGAACCACAACUGAGAUGCAAGUCCUAGCCUUCCUGCUGCUUCUAAUAGGAUUUUUGAAGUUAAAGAUAUGGGUACCUCCUCGGACUCCCUUAAACGGGUAGAAAAACGCCACCAGCAGGUUCAUCAGGACGGCCAGGUUAAACGAAAUGCUGCUCCAGAAAGACAUGUUGCGGGCACACCAGUACAACACGGGCUGGGCUGCAGAGACAAAGGCAAAGCCGCGUGAGGCUGGAGACCCCAAGCCGGAACGCCAGGAAUGCAAUGUGGCCCUUCCGCCAGCUCUGCCCCACAAGUCCACUUUUGUUCCCGGUUUUUACCACAAGAGUAAAAAUGAUCAUUUGUUUGGAACUUGGUACAUAAUGACAUCAGAUUGGUUUAUUUCUGUGUGGAGUACUUACUGGAACAGAAGAUGUAUUGGGGGUGGAGUAAGGAGAGAGCAAAAAGAGAAAAGUUGGAGCAUCUAUAAACCCUGCAUACCCCAGCCGCAGCCAUCAGUUGCGGAAUCUGGGGGUUAUCCAGAGUUCACACAUUGAGUCCUCGGUUCCCCCUAGGGCUCUGGGACCAGAUGAGAUGCCCGGAGAGACCCAAAAAUUCAAUUAGCUUUUUAGAAGUGUGGGGCACUGGGGAGGGGUGGGGGAGAUACAGCAUUCAGAGUCAGCCCCGCUGGGCCCCAGACUAGGGCUGGUAUCAUUUCCACAUUCCUCUCUGGCUCAACAUGCUCCACUAACACGCCAGUGCCUAAAAGCAAGACAAUGAUUCCUUUCCCGGCAUUGAGUCAUCUGCCAUUUCCCUGAAGUUGGAUGAUCAUUCUUGAGGACAGGGAAGCGAGGGGUACAAGUUGCUGACCUCGUGGUCAGCAGCAGAGUUCCCAUCUCCAGGGCUGUGGCAGAGAGAGGAUGUGGCAGCAAAGCCAUCACAAAGGGGCAAGAGACAGAGACGCUUUGGACAUUGCUGCCACCUUAAUCCACCGCUGCCCACAGGUUAUCCCACGCUGGCCGGGCAUUCUCAGUCUUAGAACAACAAACACUUGGUUACAGGGGUGCCUUUUUCCCUGAACUCUUUUUCAGUGGUGCUUUACACUUAGGGUGAUGCUCCAAAAUAGACAUGGUAGGCAUAAUUUCAGUGUCCAUGUCACAGGCAAAGUUUCCAAAAGACAGUCUCAUUCCACAUCAUCCCCCUCCAGAGAAAAGCAUGGAGUACGUGAGAAUGGAUCUCGAUCGUAUAUUUCUUUUUCCCAAUGAAGUCAUCAUGUAACUUUGCGACAGCAGCCAAUGACAAAUCCAACGGCCUUAUAAUAAUGCUUGUAGCAGCAGCCAAGCCUUUGGGAGCUUCCAACCAAAAUAAAAUUAUGGUACAAUUAAAUAGAGCCCUGGGUAAUUUAUUAAUCGCCCAUAUCAUGUUUGCACUUGGUAACAGGCAAUGUUUCCAAACUGUAGAGUUUUAGAGCCAUGAGCAAUCAUCUAGUUUAAAAUCCCUCAUUGUAUAAAUGAGGGAAACUGAGGCCCAGCACAGGGCAGAAGCAGUGGAGAUCUUGUUAUCCAGGUUAGUGAUCCUCUGGGGUCAGCGGCAGGGAUAAAAAUAAAUGACCCAUGUGACAAUUGAAUGGGGGGCCAGCCAGGACCCAGUCAACCACUACGUAGCAAUGUACUUUCUUUGGUAAGUUGAUUGCUGAAGCAAAUUUAAGCUGAGACAUUUAUCUGCUCUAGAAACAACAGCUAUUGUGUUUCUUCUGGGACUGAAGCCCAUUUCCGAUCUGGAUAUGUAAACUCCAGAAGAGGACAGAAGAGAUGAAUGGCAAAGAGUUGAUAACCGCUGAAGCUGAGUGAUGGAUAUGUGGGAAUCUGAAAUAUCCUCUCCACACUAGUGUGUGUAUAAAAAGCUCAUAAAACAAAGUUGGGGGGAAGAAAAGGAUCUGGCAAAGCUCAGUGAUGGUCUGUGUAAGCCAGCAUUCGUUUCAGAGGGAGUGCUCCGUAUCAAAUGUGAGUGCGUGUACUGCAGGAUACGCUAAUAUGAUUGUAAUAAAUGGUCUUCAACUAUGGCAUAUAGUUCAUGAAAUGAAUCUUAUUUUUAUAAGGCUAACAUUCUACUUAAGUUGUAAUGUUGUUUUCAAUCUGGACAAACAUUCAGUCCUUCAAAUCAACUAGGUAUUUAUCCAGGUGCAAGAAGAUACUUAGAGACCAAUCUUGACAUGCAAUGUCUUUUAUUUCCUGUGGCACAUGGAACUAUGUCCCUAUCUACCUUUCCAGACACUUCUCCCACUCCCCUUCCCCAUAUACUCUGCCUUUGUAUCCCAAUCUAGUGGUGGUUCCCGAACACACCCCGCACUCUCCAGCCUCUGCACACUCGCUUUGUGUCAAUUUAAAAAUAUGUUCAUGAAUUAUUUGAUCCUCCUCCCUUCAAGUGGUACAUCUUAAUUUCCCUUCCACUUGAGUAUGGGCUGGACUUAACAACCUGUUACUAAUAAAUAAGAGUAGAGUGAAACUGCUGGUUCAUGCCUUCUGAGACUAGGUGAUAUUAAUAAAAACACUGUGGCUUCCUUCUCCUCCCCUCUCUCUCCCUCUCCCUCUGUCUCAUCAAUAAUUUGCUCUGAGGAAAUCAUCUGCCAUGUCAUGAGGAUGCUGAAGCAGACCUAUGGAGAGGUCCGUGUGGAGGGGACCUGAGGCCUCCUGCCGACAGCCACGUAAGAGCACCAAGGAGCGGACCCUGUAGGUCCACUUAAGCCUUCAAAUGAUGGCAGCCCUGGCUGACAUCCUGGCUACAACCCCAUGAGAGACCUGAGCCAGAACCAUCCAGAGGAGCCACUCCCAAGUUCCUGACCCCAAGAAACUAAGAAAAUACUAAGCCCCAUCAGUCUCAGACGGAUCUCACUACGUGUCUGAGUCCUAGCUGCAGAUUUACUGAAGAACAGAUGAUCCUCUGCAAUACAUUCAGGAAAAGAGAGAUGCCACGUGGGAGAGCAUGGAAGAGUCAGUAUGCCCCCCACCACCAUGAUGAUAAACCCAUGGACUUGGUGUAUGGCAAUGGCCCUCAACAAUGCAACCUGCUCUCCAAGGUCUCAGGAUCCAUCCAUCCUGCCUGUGCUCCCUGGUUCGUUUUCCCUCCAGCCACUGCCAAAUGCCAGGACACAAGUCACCACCUCCCCUAUGCUUAGCCUUGUCAUCCUCCAUGUCAUUGAGGCCUUCACGACUCCCACUCUGGAACCAAGCAAUCAAGGCCUCUGAAUUGCACUGUUGCACUGACCGUUCACCUCCUUACUGUCUGCCUUAUGCAGAGUGCAAGCUCUGUGAAGGCAGAUGCCUCGCCUGAGUGGUUUCCAGCUGCCCCCAGAGCACCUAGAAGAGGCCCAGCAAAUAGAAGGCACUCCAUGAUUAUUUGAUAAAAGAAUGAAUAUAACCCAACACUUUAUGGCUCCCCAUAACUGGAUGCCCCCCUCCCCAUGGUCAGAUCCUUUUUAUAUUUGGUGGACAUGACAGAAAUAAAUCUCCAAAAUAAAUGAAUUCUAGAAAAUUGCUCAAAUAUGAGAAAGCAACUUUCAGUUGUUCACUUCUUUGAGAGCUCUUGAACCCUCAGGUCAAUAAAGGAGACAAAAAAAUCAUGGGGGCAAAGAAUGCAACCUGAAGCCACCUAAUUAUGGUGACUGAAUUUCUCACCAAGACAGACCAUCCAACAUCUCACCCAUGCGGGCUUACAGAGGACUGCCCGCUAAAGCUGGGGUGCACCAGAAGGUGGCCGUGCAGGGCCAUUCGCUUCAGCUGCUAUCCCAGCUGUGUUCUCAUGGCAUGGAAGCAGCUUUAAAAGCAUUUUGGGACAAUCUGGUCAUUCAAGGAAACAAAAGCCCUUCAAGUAAGUAAGUAAAUGAAUAAAUAAAGCCCGCCAUCUGUUAUCUGACAGCAGCGCCACGCGACACACACAGAUAGCCUGCCACGGACCGCGCUGUCUGACGGCCAAUCGGGUGACCCAAUGGCUGUCAACCGCUAGGGUCAGGGUAAGGGAAGCUCUUAUGAGAUGAGACAGGGCCAGGCGCUGAGAACGCCACAUUGCUGUGUGUGUUUCCGCCACGGUCACUAGGUUUGUUUCGCAUUACUGAUUCCAGUCCUCAGUCGCUCAAGGGUUCGAAGCAGCUUUAUUGAUAGAAUGUGCUCAAUAAAAUAAUAAAAUGGAUAAUAAGGUCUAGAAGACACAAGUAAGCACAGAAAAUCAAAAAGAGAAUAGGUUGGGAACUGGAGAAUGGGGAAUGAGGAUUCAGAGGAGUCCCAGGCUGGGCUCUGAGGUCAAGAUGAAAUGAGAGGUGUGCUCAGUUACACUACUCUUGGUAUCAAAAGGAGAUAUACAACCAGUGCCUCAACGGAAGGAAGACAUUUCUUUUUUUUUUAUUCUGUUCAAGUAAUUUUUAGAAACUUUUUAAAUUUGUUAAGUUCUGGGGUACCUAUGCAGGACGUGCAGGUUUGUCACAAAGGUAAAUAUAUGGUGGUUUGCUGCACCUGUCAACCCACCCAUCACAUACAUAUUAAGCCCAGCAUGCAUUAGCUCUUUUUCCUAAUGCUCUCCCCCAACUCCUGCCUCCCCCAACAGGACCCAGUGUGUGUUGUUCCCCUCCCUGUGUCCAUGUGUUCUCAUUGUUCAGCUCAUACUUGUAAAUGAGAACAUGUGGUGUUUGGUUUUCUAUUCUUGCAUUAGUUUGCUGAGGAUAAUGGCUUCUGGCUUCAUCCAUGUCCCUGCAAAGGACACGAUCUCAUUCCUUUUUAUGGCUGCAUAGUAUUCCACAUUUUAUGGCUGCAUAGUUUAUGUACUAUAAUUUCUUUAUCCAGUCUAUCAUUGAUGGGCGUUUGGGUUGAUUCCAUGUCUUUGCUAUUAUGAAGAGUGCUGCAAUAAACAUAUGCAUGCAUGUAACUUUAUAAUAGAAUGAUUUAUGUUCCUUUGGGUAUGUACCCAGCAAUGGGAUUGCUGGGUCAAAUGGUAUUUCUGGUUCUAAAUCUUUGAGGAAUUGCCACACUGGGAAGGUGUUUCUUAACAGAGGAAUUAGCAGGGCAGGUUUUGCAGUCAGACUGCCUGGGUGUGAGUCCCAGGUCCUUGACCCACUGGCUCUGUGGACUUGGGCACACUGCCCAGCCUCUCUGAAUCCACAUAGAAGGGCUGCCAUGAUGCAUGCCAAGUGCUUAGUACAGUGCAAACUGAUGGUGUUAAUUUUGUUUUUCUACUACCAUUACAUUAGUAGAAUGUGAAAACUCCAAGGUGAAGGUGAUCCUGUGAGCAGCUAGGACAGGAGAGCAAAGUGAGAGCUCUGUUUCCAGAGUCAGAAAGGCCUGGAUCUCAGCUCCACCGCUUACUAGCGAGUGUCACCUUAGAAAGUGACAAUGUCUCUGAAACUCGAAUCUUCUCAUCUGCAAAAUGGGCAAUAAUCGUACUUCAUGGAUGGUUGUGAAGGUUCAAUGAGAUCACUACAGUAACACGAUAGCUAACACUCACUGACUGCUUUCAAGCUACCAGGAGCUCAGGCAAACCUUCACAUGUUAUCUCACCCAAAAACCCAUGGAGCUAGUUACAAGGCCUACCUGGGCAACAUAGUGAGACUUCUGUCUCAAUGAAAUAAAAAAAAUUAAAAAGGUACCCCCGAAGAAAGAAGUGGGGUUUCUAGAACAGAAGCAGUGGUAUCUAUUGCAAGAGUAGAAGUGAAACAUGAUGGUAGUGUGGGUAAAGAACUAACAUACUUCUUCUUAGAAGGGGCGUGCCCUUGGAGCGAAGGGAGGCAGAGGGCCCUCAGGGAGGGCCUUCUGGAAUUGCUGGCUGUGGCUGCUGGAGGCAUUCACCUGCCCCCUCUGCUACCUGGUGUGACCUAGACUUAGAGAGACAAGAGCCCUCCACACAGUCACAGACCUGUUCAUUAAGCCUCUUUCUGUAAUGAUGCGUUUGCAGGGCUUGGGUGGGGAAUGGAAUGUUCUCCUCAGGACUGUCUCCCUAUGGCUGGUGGGAGCUGAGAGCAGAGAAGGUGGGUGCACAGCCUCCCCGCCCCAGGCUCCUGAAGCACGGCCCCUCUACCCGCUACACUGCCUCCCUCUCUCCCUCCCGGAACCUCUUUCAAUUCAUCACUCUUCACCCAGACCAAGAGCAAAUCAUCAGAGAUUUUACUUUUCCAAACUUUUCACUCCACCCCACCUGGCAGGUGUGAGGUAGCCCUUCAACAUAAACCUGGCCCAGACUGGGAAACAUCAGGUGAUGGUGAGAGAAAUCAAAAUGGUGGUUGCUAGGUACCCAUCAACAGUGGGCUGCGUAAAGAAAACGUGGUACAUAUAAAACAUGGAAUACUACACAGCCAUAAAAGAGACUGAGAUCAGGUCCUCUGCAGCAAAAUGGAUGCAGCUGGGGGUCAUUUUCCUAAGCAAAUUGAUGCAGGAGCAGAAAACCAAAUACUACAUUUUCUCACUUGUCAGUGAGAGAUAAACAUUGGGUACUCAUGGACAUAAAGAGGGGAACAACAGACAGUGGGGAGUGCCUGGGCGGGGGCAAGGGCUGCAAAACUCUUGGGUACAAUGUUCACCACCUGGGUGAACCCCCCCAAACCUCAGCAUCGCACAAUAUACCCAGGUAACAAACCUGCACAUUUACCUCCUGAAUCUAAAAUAAAAGUUGAAAAAAACACCAAAAUGGUGGUUGCCUCUGGAGGGUGGGGGGUUGUGAGUAGAAAAGGACUAUAAAUGGGAAUGAGACAACUUUCUAGAAGAAAAUAAAUGUCUUGAUUAGGUUGGCAGUUUCACAGGUGUGGUAGACAGAAUGGUCCCCGCAGACAUGUCCAUGUUCUAGUUCCUGGAACCUGUGAAAAUGCUGUCUUAUGUGGCGAAGGGGAAUUAAAGGUGCAGAUGGAACAAAAGCUGCUAAUCACCGACCUUAAAGUAGACAGAUGAGCUUGGAUUACCCGGGUGGGCCCAACAUAAUUACAAGGAGCCUUCGCUGUGGAGGCAGGAGGCAGGAGAGGAGGGUGGCGAGAGGCAAUGUGAGAAGGACUCCAUUCACCAUUGCUAAACCUGAAGAUGGAGGAAGGAGCCACAAGCCAAGGGAUGUGGGUGGCCUCUGGAAACUGGAAAAGGCAAGGAAGCCUUCUCCCCUAGAGCCUCCAGAAAGGAGCGCUGGCCUGCCAACACUUGCUUUAGUCUAGUCUAGUAAGACUCAUGUUGAACUUAUAAAACAAUACAUUUGGUUCCUUUAAGCCACUCAGUUUGUAGGAAUUUGUUACAGCAGCCACAGAAAACUGGUACAAUGGGUAUAGAAACAUUUGUCAUAUCGAAUCAAAGUCUACAUUUAAAAUCUGUGCCUAUGAUUAUAUGUCAAUUAUAUCACAAUAAUAAUAAUUAAAAAAAGAUAACAGAAAGUCUGCUUUGUUCCCAGAAAGCUGGGGAACUCUGUAGAGGGGCCACCUUCUGAGGCUGCCUCUCCACCAGAGGGAACGGCAUCUGCCCCCGCCAGGCCGACCUCUCCUCACCCUCCAGUCGUCUCCAAAUCACAUUUGAUUCCAGAGCCCUUUCCAUAUAAGCUGUCUCACCAGAGUCUUAGGAGAUUGCCAAGGCAGAUAUCAUCAUUCAUAAAUCUGUCACAUUAUAGAUGAGAGAGCUGGGGUUAGGAGAGGUCAGUGACUUGUGGCAGAGCCACAACCAACUCUCCUCCCAUCUGCACGUUGAACCGACACAGACAACCAGCCCCAGCAGUGAGGCCGGAGUCAAAGGCUGGGAAAGCAGAAGACACAAAGCUGGUCUGCGGGCAGAUCCUCAGCACCAGUCCCAGACAUCCCUGAUGACAGAUCUGAUCAGAUACGCUUUAAGGAAAAGGCCAGGGCAGGGGCAGGGGCAGGGUGAGGCAGUGACCCCGGCAGUGGCUGUUUCCAUCCUGAAUCCACUGGACAGGGGGAAAGGGAAGUGGGCAUGGCUGCUGUCAGCCAACCUUCAACCACAACAAAAGAGCAAGAGAACACAGAUCACAGAACUCUGCAGCUGGAAGCACUGGAAUCCAGCAGUUUCCAAAUGCCUUUUUCAGCAGGGUAACGUGCUCCUCUCCGGUCCCAAAACACCAUCUUAGGAUAAAGACGCCGCUAGAUAAAAGACAAAAGGCAAAACAGCUCCAUAUGAAGCAGAGCAAAGAGGGUCCCCUCCCUCUUGCCAUUGAAACUCCUUGGAACUUCAGGAGAGCAGCACUUGAAAACCACCCAUGUCGUCCAUCCUUCCACAUUUCACAGAUGAGGAAACUGAAGCCCAGAAAGGGAAAGAGACUUGCCAGGGCCACACAGAACCUCCCUCCCCUGACUGCCCAAGACAGUUACUUUUGACCACACUGGGGUGUGGCUGGUUGAAACUACAACCCGAGUUUACAUUCUUACCUUCUGAUAAUUGUCAAGUAGACAGUUUUCCCUCCUUGGGUUGACUGAGCUGUAGAGGGGCCAAUGAAUCCGGGUCUUAGAUUAAAAGAAUAACAAAACUACCUUUUCAGAUCAGCCUUGAAAAUAAUAUAAUAUUGCUUAAUUAGCCUGGCUCCCCCAUCCUCCCCCAGCCCUGCAAGUCCUUGCAAAGCCAUGGAGCGUGGUUAUGACGAGCCUGCCUUGCUUCAGGAACAAGAGCCACCCCGAGGUUAGGGGCUAGUGGACAGUGACGGCCACCUCGGUGACAGCAGGGAGACAGAGGGCCUGGAAUUAUCACUGGAUGCAAGUUGGACACCAGUCUUUGGCCAUUUACAUAACACCCACCUCCUUUCUGGAUCCACCUAUCUUACCCUUCCCUGGAAAGGGGUAUUAUUGUUAGACAACUGUAGCACUUUGCAUCUGAGUAGCUCUUGGUAGUAAUCAAAGUGUUUUUGACACCUAACGUUUCAUAACAACCUUGCUGGACCCCAGCUUCCAUGUGAUGCUGACAUGGCAGAUGGUAAGACCCUCAUUUUUCAGCUAACGAACCCAGGGCACAAAUGAGGUUAAGUAAAUUGCCCACGAUCACAUGGCUGGAUAGCAAGGAGCCAAGGCCAUAAUUUAGGUUUCCCGACUUCCAGUUCUCCAGGCACGCUCUGCCUAGCCAGGUGUGUUUUAUUACCUAGUUCAAAGGGGGACACUCCUUUCUUUAGGUGCAAGAGGUCACAGUCCUAAUCAAACUGUGUAAACAAGUGGUCCUGGGGAGGAGAAUAGGAGAGACAAAUCUUCUCCAUGACCUAGACAUAUACCCAUGAAGCCAUCUUUCCCAGAAUUCAGGAAGUUCAGGGGAAAAGACAGGCCUUGCAGUCCAAGGAUCAUGGUGCUCCCUGGAAUGUGAGCCAGCCUACCUGUCCGUUUCUGGGCCACCAGACCAUUCUAGGGGAGGAGCCCCUUUGUGGCAUCUUAGCUGCAAGACAGGGCAGUGGCGGGGAGCAUAGAUGUAUGUGUCCCAGGGUGGAGCCUGGUGGGAGCGGGCAUGGCUUGCGGGGGAGCAGUCCAGCACAGAGUGACGGCUGCAGGACUCAGAUCCUUCCUCAAAGAAAAGCAUUUCCAUCAGCUUCUAAAAGUUGGUCCACCUUUCAGAAGCCCUCGCUCUGGGCCUUGAGAGAAUCCAGAGAAUGGGAUUUUCCACCUCACUGCCUCAUAAGACAUGGCCCUGACCCAUCUAGCCCAUGACACUCACCACGGCUGCUCACUUACCUGCUGCAGAAUGAUUUAAGUUCUCAGGUUAAGGCCAAGAAUUUGAAAAAUGUGGCUGCCAAACAGUGAGCCAAAGCUUGAGUUUCCACAGGCUGAGGAAAAUUCUCUGUGGGCAUCUUUGAUUUUUCUCUUUUCACAUCAACUCUGGGAGUCUCAGGGACUUCAGAGGACAUCUCCCACCAGACUAACCCACUCCUGCCCAGCUUGAACAGAUACUCUGUGGGUGACAGAGCAACGCCAGUGGCUACCAAGAGGUGGGGCUUACCUUGGCUGUCUUCCUACACCUGUGGUGAACUGAGAACUCCCCACUCCCUGGGGACCCUCUCUCUGCAAGUUUUAUUAUAGUGAACGGCAACUGAACGUUUCCGAUUUGCCGGGCGCUAAGCGCUUUAUAUGCAUUAUCUCAUUUCAUCCUCAGAAGCACCCCAUGGGGUAGGUGCCAUUAUCAUCCCCAGUUUACAGAUGAAGAAACUGAGGCCCCAAGAAGUAACCCGCUGAGUCAUCCACCUAAUAAGUGCCCUGGCACCCAAGCCCCACCUGUCCGACGCCUCAGCCCUGUUCCCAACCACAUGCUCUGUUAAACACCUCUCCCCUGAGCAAGAGUCUGUCCUGUUCUGAACACCUUUUGGCAUUUUAUAAUCCACCCCACCCCUACCCCUACCCACCAGGUCUUUCAGAGGCAUAAACAGGCUCCUCUCACAGUAAAGAAUAGUGGCAGAAGGUACACAUGCAUUCGAAUGCCUCAACUUUCCCAUGACGUUUAAUACAUUUGUUAAUAUGGGUUCCCAAACAAUCCCCUUCUGCAAGCUGAAGGGCUGCCAGGGCUGGGGUAAUAAAUUAUUAACAAAACCAUUGUCACACAAUGACUGCUGUGGGUCUGGAGUCCUUUUUUAGAAACCAAUGAUUACAAUCAAAACUCAAAGACCAGGAACCAUGAACUAGGUAAUAAAACACACCUGGGUAGGCAGAGAGUGCCUGGAGAACUGGAACUCGGGAAACCUACAUUUUGGCCUUGGCUCCUUGCUAUCCAGCCAUGUGAUUGUGGGCAAUUUACUUAACUUCAUUUGUGCCCUGGGUUCUUUAGCUAAAAAAUGAGGGUCUUACCACCUGCCAUGUCAGCAUCACAUGGAAGCUGGGGCCCACCCAGCAAGGUUGUUAUGAAACAGUAGGUGUGAAAAACACUUUGAUUACUACCAAGAACUACUCAGAUGGAAGGUGCUACAGUUGUCUAACAAUAAUACCCCUUUCCAGGGAAGGUGUAAGAUAGGUGGAUCCAGAAAAGAGCUGGGUGUUACAUAAAUGGCCAAAGACUAGUGUCCAACUUGCAUCCAGUGAUAAUUCUAGUUGGUUCUGGUAGGUUGAAUGGCCUCUAAAUUGACAGCAAAAACACAAUGAAUGGCAAUUCCCAUUAAGUGUCACAAUGUAGAAUUUUUUUUUUUAAGUUUGGACGGCAUGAAAAAGAACGAGAUCAUAUCUUUUGUGGGAACGUGGAUGGAGCUGGAGGCUAUUAUCCUCAGCAAACGAAUGCAGGAACAGGAAACCAAAUACUGCACGUUCUGGCGUAUAAGUGGGAGCUAGAUGAUGAGAACUCAUGAACACAAAGAAGGAAACAAUAGACACUGAGGUCUACUUGAGGGUGGAGGGUGGGAGGAGGGAGAGGAGCAGAAAAAAUAACUAUUGGGUACUGGGCUUAGUACCUGGGUGAUGAAAUAAUCUGUACAACAAACCCCAGUGACAUGAGUUUACCUGUAUAACACACCUUCACAUGUACCCUCAAACCUAAAGUAAAAGUUAAAAAAAAAUUUGGCUGAAAUUUCACUAGCUAUAAAAGCCAUUCAAAUUUCUGCACGUGCAGAGAUAAACAUCGUUGCUUCCGCUUGUCAAAGUUUAAUACACCCAAAGGCAGAAUACAAGCUUGUGUCAGACCCUCCUCUCAAGUAAUCCCCAGCCUUUCCACAUAAAGCAUUUCCCAACAUUUUAAACCAGUCUCGACUUCAGCAAAAGUCUGACCUAUGAAAAGGGCCUAAUAGUGAGUACAAUGGGCAUUCAGAAUUGGACCCUCCCUUGGCAUAAAUUAUCACUCACCCUAACAAGAAACUUUUUUGCAAGGUCUGAUGGCUUUCAACCAGCCAACAUCUGCAGCUCUCAGUUUACCAGCCUCUCUCAGGAUGUUUCCAGCUUUAAUGAGUUCAGAAAUAACAUAGACUUCCAAGUAGAAAGGAAGCGAUGAAGUGAAGCAAGUCUGUAUUGGAGAGGUGUCAACAUUUCAAUUUCAUUUGUCUGAAAUAAGGUCCUCCCUCAUCCACACUGUACAGUCACCUUUUAACAAGUGAGAGACAAACCAGUUUCAACUACCCUGCCAGGCAAGGGUGGGGCAGACGCCCUUCGCUAUGCCUGACACCUGAGAGAAAAGGUGGAGGACAAAGAACCCUUCCUUCACUCUUAUUAAUCUGGUCACUGGGCUCUGGGGAACGGCCUAAGCUCCAGGGUCAAGGCCAAGGCAGGGGAUCUUCAUGAUGAUUUUCAAGGUGAAUUCAGUCUUCUUCAAGCAGCAAAGUCCAACCUGUUCUAUUAAAAACACUUUUCAGGGUCCAGUAUGGUGGCUUACAGCUGUAAUCACAGCACUUCCGGAGGCCAAGGUGGAAGGACUGCUUGAGCCCAGGAUUUCAAGACCAGCCUGGGCAACAUAGCAAGACCCCAUGUCUAAAAAAAAAAAAAAAAAUGUUUUUAAUUGGGGGAAAAAACACCUUUCUUCUGAGACAGAAAGCUCAACAGCUCUCCUUUCCUGUCUCCCAGUGCCCACGGGAACUGGGACUUACUGGGAAAGCUCUGCCCUAUCUGGUAAGCAGCGUGGUCCCCCUCCACCCUGUGUGGAUCAGAACGCUAACAGUUUCACACAUAUUCAACAACAACUCAACCAACAAACAGUAAUUCCUAAAAAAAAAAAAAAAAAAAAAUUAAAGGUAUUAUCGUAGGAAGCCCCUGAUGGUGUAGGCAGGCUACUGGCAACCACUGUUUCCAGCAAUUUUCAACAGUAAAACCAGAUUUCAGAGAAGCAGGUCAGCCACCACCCUGGAGGACCCUGUGGCUCUGACCCAGGAACAAGAAGUUAAGGAGACUCCAAAUUUUCUCUGGGUUCAAUAGUCAAACAGAUGCCAAAGGCCAGUAUCUUUUGUGGGGAUACACGGCACAGCCGUCUGUCUCUUCCAGCCAAGUCAUGAAGAUUGGAAAGCCUCCAGACAAAACAAAGAUGACCAGUGGAGUGUCAAAUCAACGAUACCCUUGAAAACAGAUGUAAAAUAGAUGCAACAUCAAAAUUUGCCUGAAGUGGAAGGGGACUGUGGUAGGAAGCUCCUUGGUAAUCCUCCAAGAGGGCAAGAAGGUGUUCUGGUGGCUCUUCAAGCCAAUAUGAGGCUUAUUAAAAAGGUACUCUAAAGCAAAGGAGAGUUUGGUUAGAUCUCAGGAAGGACUUUUGUCCAAGGAAUCAGAGGGCUUUAAAAUCUCAGUCCAUAAAGAAGGAAUGAACAAUGUGAACUGCAUGUCUGGGCUGCAGGAGACACAUGCUAGCCUCUGAGGGUGGCUUCCAGGGCUGGUUCUAUGAUUCAAUGACAAGUAUCCUCUGGUGGCUCUUGUGAAACUCUCAGGUCCUGUCUCAGCUCACCCACAUGAUCACUGUGGGAACUGUGGCCAGGAGGACAUGAAGACUUUCUCAUCAGACCUCCACCUUGUCUCAUGAACCCUGAAAAGACAGAUGCAAGAGGUGCUUGGAAAAUUCUAUCAUCAAGUCCUCUUCCCGGGAGGAGGGUCCAGUGCUGAGGACCUGGCAGUGACUUGGGUGCUGUUCCUCCAUGGGGGUGGCAAUCUGCAUCGUGGAGAGCGAGGGCUGAAGCAGGAGUUGCAGGGUCAGGGGAGUCGAUCUCUGGAAACAACUCCCCAGGUCUUAUUUCCAUUCUGUGUACCUGAGGGACAAUGAAUCAACACCAACCAACAUUUCCUGUCCUCAAUGCUCCGAGGUUCCCAGGGAAUUCAACUUGAAAUUUAUACAGAUGCCAAGAAUAAUCCUUGCCACCCCCCCCCCAUUUUCUGUGUUUGUGCAGUCACACGGCUCAGUGAAAGCGAUCUCUAUCCUGCAUCUUUAGCAAGGUAGAAACAUACGCAUAGGGGUGACUUAGGAACUGGGUGGGUUUGGACAGCUCAUUUAUUAACUUCCAUCCUCAGUUCCCUCAUCUGCAAUGGAGAAAGAGGAGGAGAACCACUUGAGAUUCUAUUGCAAGGAGUGCAGGAGAGAAAACAGGUGAGAGCCCGCACAGUACCGGCAGGGUGUCUACACCAGCCACGUUCCCUUCGCUGCUCUCCACACAAACUGUGACAAGGACACUUGGCCAUAGAAGCCGAAAAAAAUAAAUCCACUCAGGCCGGAUGGAGGCAAGGACACUGGCUUAGGUGGCAAAGCAUCAAGCAAAGCAAGUGCCUCCUUGAUGAAGACUGCAGUCACCCCCAGUCAACCCUAGUCCUUCCCAACUCAACUGACUCUCGGGUACAGCCGAGUCUGGUCCCCAGCAGAAUGCUCUGGGACUCUUCAUGUCUCCCCACCCUGCAUCCCCAUCUUGCUGUGUGCUGGCCCACCAGGUAACUUCCACACGGCCACAGAGAGCAUCCCUGGCAGCUGACAGUAAGAUGUACAGAUGGCCAAGCGGUUAGAGCAGGGCAGGGUGAAAUCACACAGCACUCAUCUGGGUAAAGCUGCUUUGUAUAUUAGGGCUUUGGCGGCGGCAGCGCAUAUCCAAGCAGGGGACAGGCCCAAGCCAACUUGGUGCCCUUUAGAAGCACCGACUAGGGAUCGGCGGGAACCACAGAGAUCACCUCAUCCAGCCCCGACUUGAUGACAAGCCCAUCACCCUGGUGGAGCAGAUACUUUCCGCAGCUCUGCCCCUGACCGACCACCAUGGGGUAGACCGCGUUAGCUUCCUUCACUCAGCUCCUCCAACAUCCCAAGCACAAGCCAACCCUCUUCUGAAAUACUCUUGCCCUCUGCUACUCUUCACACAGCUCCUUCUCUUCGCAUCUGUUGGGUCUCAGCUUGAACGGUAUCUCCCCAGAGAAGCCCUCCCUGGCCACGCUUCGUGGCGCCUGUUUGCUUCCCCAUCACACUUCUCUGAAGCUCUGAUUUAGCUGAUGAUGAGCUGAUUUCCUAGCUCUGUCUCCCACAAGACUGUAAGCUCCUGGAGGGCAGGGGCUAUGUUGGUCUCAUCCCUGACUGUAUUGACGCCAAUGUGUAUAGCACCUGACACCCAGGGAGUGCUCAGUAAGUAAACAUCUGCUAUAUUAAGCCGGCUGUGGUGACACAAGCCAGUAGUUCUAGCUACUCCGGAGGCUGAGACAGAAAGAUCUCUUCAGCCCAGGAGUUCAAGGCCAGCUUGGUCAACACAGUAAGGCCUCUUCUCUCUUUUUAAAAAAUUUACUAUAUUAAUGAAUGAACAAUAAUCCUGAAGGAGGUGCAAUUCCGAAACACUCAAGCCAAGCUUUGCAUCCAUGGCAGCUGAAGUAUAACUUUAUGGCCAGAAGAAGCCUGCAUGUGAAAGCUCAAAGUCCUGCUAAGUGGGAAUAUGCAGCACACCGCAGACCAGCCAAAGGCAGCUGAUGUGGUGUUGUCACCUCUACGGGCUUAUCCGGUUUUUGCACGUAACUCUGUGAUGGGCUCAGCCUGGCUGAGGAUCCUUAAUCCAUCGAGUUAACUGUUAACUACCCCGGCCCCAGUGACACAGCAGCUUGCAUGAUUAACUACAGCCCGGGAGGGAUGAUCAUUUGUGCACCUUCCGUCUCCAAACCUGGCUCCCUCCCCAGACUUGAUAGCUACAAGCUCUGGGCUCAACAGUUUGUGGGUUUGUGUUGCAAGGAGGCUAAUAAAAACAUAUUUCUCAAAUACCAUAUGGUGAGGGCAACUGCAACACAUCCUCCUCGAAGAGCAAUAAAAUAUAUAUAUUUUUAAAGUCCUGAAUUCCAGGGGAAAAACGAGGCUUGAAGACUUCAGAGGGUUUACAGGACUAUCCCCUUCAGUGUCAGAGCCAUCUUGAUCAAAAGUCUAAAACCCAGGAAUAGGAAAUUGGUAGAAACUUUGAGAGAGCCUCUGACAGUUUCAAAGAGGAACUCAGAGGACCUCAGGAAAUGUGAGCGGGCAUAGAUUUCUCCGUGAAAAGGAGGGUCAAGGCAGAAGAACCAGAGGCAACUGUGAACAUCAAGUCAGUUCUCAGGGAAGCAGGGGAUCCAAGUGUGUACAUGAGGCGCCUUCACUGUCCCUGCAUCAGGAAUCUAGCUGUUGGCACCUUAUAAUGAGAAAACAGUCUCAACCAUGAAGUUAACUCUGCUGGAAGAUUUCCAAAGGGAAAGUCCCUCCCGUUACUCAGAGGGGAAAAAAAAAUUACCUACUUGGUCUGGAAUCCGGGGAUAUUUUAUGCAGAUGUCUCUAACAGAAGUUAAUAAAGGGAAGUCAGCUUGCCUCUGAUUAUUCAAACAGGCUACUGCUAUUAAGGAUUGCACAACUUCUGGGCAAGGCAGAGGUGGGUUUGGCUUUUUAAAAAUUUUUUCAGCCUGUCCUCAUGGAACUACAUAUUCUUUUCUAAGAACUUUUCAUCCUAACCUCCCUACUCACAUCUUCUAAGUGUCUCUGCUCUGGUGGGAAUGUGAUGGACAACACAGAGCCAUCUCAGAAGCCUCUGUGGCCACCACCAGGCCGGCCAGGGUGCAGGGGGCCACUCCCUGGGCAGCCAUAGGGUUCUCAGCAAGGUGCAUUCGUCGUCCCUGCUGAGAAUCUGAUGGGGCAGCAUUUUUUUUUUUAAUUAAAUGCAAGCUGAGUCAUUUCAACCUGCAACCUUCAGGUAACAGGAGUUACCCAAGCUCCAGGAAUUAUGAUUGUGGGGUAAACCCAUUCUCUUGUUUUCUUGCGGUUCUAUUUUAUAACGCACUAGAGGAGACAGAGACGUCAUUGCUUCACCCAGGGCAAGAGGACAAAGGAGGAUGCAUGGAAAUACAAACAGCCCUUCUCCUCCAGGCCAUACCGACUGUCCAACUAGCAACAGACUUCACCUGGUUUUGGAGCAAUCUGAAUUUGGAAUAUGCCAGAGAAAACUUCUAUCAGGCAAGAUGGAAGACUCCUAGGAUAGGUCUCUCUCAUGGAGGGAUUGGCACGAUGGUAAGAGUCCAGUGGAUGGAAAAGGCCUCCUCCUUAAAGAUGGUGAUGGAAACGAGCACUGCACAGGGAAACACAAAUCAGGGAGCUGUUGUUGGGACAGGACAAGAGUCCACAUCCCCUGCCCAGUGCCUGGUUCUGGGUCAUGUCACCGAAGCGCAUCAGCCCAUCUGUCAGCCAAACCCCACUAGCCUUGUGCCUUCUCUUCUAAAUCCCCGCGGAGGAAAACAACUUCUGCCUUCUACAGUACGAACAGCGAGGGUCUGCUGGGAACCAAUACAACUUCGCGUCCCAGUGCAGCAAUGUUGCCAGGUAACAAAUGUAGAAACAUACUCCAAAAACUGUAUGUGACAAUAUACAACCUCCGCUCUGCAGCUGAUAACCGAGGGAGUGUUAAAACACCGCGUUCUCUUAACACUUGGGUUUUUGGUGUGAAAGUAAAAUUAAACGGGAUACUUCCUCUUGUAAAUAUAAGACAGGCAUACAACUCACACACGUAUCCACUAAUCGGAAAUAGUAGAGGGGUUUGCAAUAGCUAUCUGCAGUGCAUCCCAGCCUUCACUCUUACCCUCAAGAUGAAUUCCAGAAAACCUACAGAAACGAUAACUGAGGAAGAGCCUUUCUUCUGUCGGGGACAAGCUCUCCUCUAACAAUUGUGAGGAAGCUACCCACAAGAAAGACACCAGCAGAAAUUAAGGAAAAGCUCAUGCAUUGUUAUUAAAAAAAAAUGUGCUUCCAUUCCACUCCAUUUUAAAGGUCUACCUUUAAAACUCAUUGGCUAACCAAGCAGUGACUACUUGCUUCUCAGAUCAAAUAACCAGUGCAGCCUGUUCCCACCCCAAACGAAAACAAGAUAGACACUGCUCUCUAGUAGGCAGAGCUCCAAAGUGGGUACAGGGCACUGAAUAGCUCCCUCACAUUGUACUCAUGUAACUUAAAGGCUGGCUAGCAUGGGAGAAAGCUGAGAGACUUCUGAGGGCCUUGUGUUCAAAUCCCAGCUCUGCCAACUGGGUGACUUUGGGUAAGACACAUGGCUUUUUUCAGACUCAGUUUCCUCAUCUGCAAUUGGGACUAUUCCAUGUAGCCCAGAUAGAGUACCUACUGGCUCCACGCACAGUGCUGGGCACUUUAUAAAAUGAGAAGACCUUCCUCCCUUUCCCUUCGCCCAAACAUGAAUAUUCUUCAACCAGUAAAGACUCAGAUGUGGGGAGUAUCUGGUGCAUUUAGCUUCUCUGAGCAAAACGGGCAAAAGCUGAGAUCUAAUAACCAUCACAUGAUGCCAAAGAACAUAUGCUUCUUUAGACGCAAGCGAAAAACAAAAAUCGCUAUUAAUCCAACUUUUCAUAACGGCCCUAAUUAGAUGAGCUGCUGUCAAUCUCUUCCACAGUGAGGAAGUUCUGUAGGACAGUCUUCCUGUCAUUAACUUUCCUAAGACCUGGGAACCUGGAACUUGCUGGAAGUACAUGUAUGUAGCACACAUAAUUGUCAUUUGGCAAAUGAGAUGCCCAGUCUGAAAGGAAAAGUCUUUCAUGAUUUCCUCCUCCAGAAUUCAUGGGCAGACCUUAUAAACAAAGCAAAUACACUGACCACUCGAGCUGCCUUCUGAUUAUCAGGAGGGCACAGUGUCUCCCACAAAGACUCCACUACCAAAGAAAACAAAAUGUGGAGGCACAACUUCCAAUCUGCCUGGCAAACAGACGCAAAGUCCUUGAAGCGGCCAUGUCUGUGCCUGGAAAAUUGGUGGAGUAAGGAGGCGGCAUGGUAGAGAGGUUACAAACUCACGUUCUGGCAGAAAACAAACCCUGGAACAACUACCAGCUGGCUCUGUGACUCUGAGCAUAUAACCUGACCUCUCGGAUCCUCUAUUUCCUCAUUAGCAGAAAGGGAUCAAAACAGUACCUACUACAUAGGCGCCCCAGGAAGAUGGAUGAGACCAUGCAGUGAGGGCGCCUGGCUAGCCCGUGGUACAUGAGCACUUGUUACCACUACUGUCCAUCAUUAUUACAAAGAAGAAGAAAAGAGGACUGCUGCCAUCAUAAGGCUAUUUCUCCAAGUUGACAUGUAUUUCCCAUGGGCUCAGAUCAAUUCCCUCCCACACCUAAAGAAGGUCCCCUUUAAAAUGGCAAUAAUCAUCAACAACACAAGUUCACAUUUCACAUCCUCAUGUUUCUAUUCAAAAAUGGUAAGAAGGCUAAAGUAACACGGUGGCCACACUGGGUCAGAACUUCUAUCUCUACAUUUACAGUCUGAGUGCUGGGGAGUCAGAUGGAGACUUGACCCCGGAAGAAAGUGCACCCUUGGGCGAGUUAGUGGGUGAGGGAAGAUAAACAACCAAAAAGUAAGCAGAGUUGCUUUGGAUGAGCUGUUACGAUGUGUUAAAAGCUCCAUGCUGAGCUGAGUGCCUUCCACAUAUUAUCUCAGUGAAUUCCCAGAAUAGUUUAUACAGUAGGAGUAUCCACACUGAUUCAUCAUGUACACACUGAGGACCUUUCAUCCAGCACGUGUGGAGGCUCCUCGAGGGGACUCGGAGUGAAGACAGACUUGGUCUCUGCCCCCUCGGGUCUUACAGUCAAGCUCCAGUUGAAGUGUGGUCAUUACUACAGUAAAUGAAGCACAACCCAUUAUCUCUGCCUCAGGGGAUCAAGAGGAAGUUUCUAGAGUAGGAGACAUUUCAAUCAGGGCUUGGGGAGCCUGCCAAAGGGAAUGAGGGCACGUCCCACAUGAAGCAAAGGCAUCUGAGUUCAUGGCCCCGCUGGGGAUUGGCAGGCAUGAGUUGCAGCUGCAGGACAAUAAGCGUAGGGGAGUGAGUGGAGAAACCCAGGUGGGGCCAGACCACGUGAGGCACUGAUGGGUUCCAUCAGGGUGGCCAUGGGCUCCAUACUCCACAGAAGGCUGUUCAGAUGGGGAAGCAGGUAGUGAGGGUUCCAUUUGGGGGGCAUCACUGACAACCGCGUGGAAGAGAGAAAUGCCCAGAGGCAGGAGGCCACUAAAAGGCUAUCUCAGUUAUCCAGGCAAAAAGGCUGACAGGUGCAGAUCUCAGCAGCCCUAUGCUGGCAGGCGGUCGAGCCUGGUGGUCAAGAAUAUGAAUCCUGAAGUAACAGUGCCUAGUUUCAAACCGCUGCUCCUCCAUUCCCAGCUGGGCCACUCUGAAUUCACAGUGCCAACUAUCUGGCUCAUUAUAAGUCCUAACAAUGGUUAAACUCCCAGGAGGUAGAGUGGGCACAGAUUAGUUCCUGGAGAAAAGCAAGAGAAAAAGAAGUCUGAUGACUGCAAAGCUUCUAGCUUGGGUAUCCUUGGCUGGUGGUGAGUCCACUGAGAAAGCUAUGGAACACGAGAGGGCAAAUAGAAUGGAGGAAGGGAGAUGACAGUGUCAUGGGGUCCUGCUAACUUAUAGCUAACACAAGUGGAGAUGCCCAUCAGGGAUUUGAGCAGAAAUCUAGAAAUCGGCAGAGAGGUGGGACCGAGAGCUGUAUCUUUGGGAGGUGUUGGCAUAAAUGGCUGCUGGAGGCCUGGGCAGUAGAUGAGAUUACCCAAGGGGAUCGGUAGAAAAAGAAGGCAAACAGGCUGGAGAUGGGGCCUCAAAACAUUUCAGAUGUUUUAAGGUCAACCGUAUAUGCCCUGAGAAGUCCCUGUGUUUACCACUAGGAAAACGUUUGUAGGAGGCACAGAAAUAGCACAGCAUUAAGCCAUAAGGGAGUGACUAACCUGAAACCAUGAUGCUUUGGGGUAGGACGGUCAGAGGGGGCUCACAGAUCCAAAGUCUGUAAUCGCAGGUGUCUGGACUCUCAGGCUACAUAUACAAUUUCCUAAGGAAUGUCCUGCUUUGUCUGCGUCCCGAAUCUGUGUUGAAAGAUAGUAAACUGGGGUGAUGGAGUACAUCCUGGCAGAGGCUAUGUGGGGAGAGCAGAGAUGACUCUAGGGAAGAAAACGUCUUUUAAAAAACAACCCUGUCUGCUCCCACCAAAAGGAAGAAAGAAAAGAAAGAAAAAAAUGAAGGAAAAGGGGAAAGGAAGGGAAGGAAAGAAGGGAGGGAGGAAGAGAGGGAGGGAGGGAAGGAGGGAAAGAAAAAAAAAAGACAGUGAGAAAGAGAGAGAAAGAAAGAAAACACAGAAAGAGAAAGGAAAAGAAAGAGAUAAAGAAGAAAAGAAAGGGAAGGAGGAAGGAAGGAAAGAGAAGGAGAGAAGGAGGGAAAGAGGGGAACGAAGGAAGGAAGGAGGGAGGGAGGGAAGGAAGGAAGGAAGGAAGGAAGGAAGGAAGGAAGGAAGGAAGGAAGGAGGGAGGGAGACAGAGAGGGAGGAAGGGAGGGAGGGAGGCCCCAGCCUGUUUCCCUGAAUUCCCAUUUAUUAGCUGAGUAAGUGGCCAACAUAUCUUGGGACUUAGGAUAUUGCUCAUCUGGUGAAUAUUUACUUAAAAAUUGCCAUACCAGGGGAUGAGGAGCACAGAACAAAGGGGAAAUACUGUGGUUCUUUCCCUUAGGCAGUUUAACAUCUACAUAGUAAAGAUUAAACAAACCCUAGGGUCAGCAAACAUUUUUCCAAAGGGCCAAAUGGUAAACAUUUCACACGCUGAGGGUCAUUGCAGCUAUCUGUCACAACUACUCAACUCUGCCCCUGAAGCAGGAAAGCAGUUAGGACAAUCCCAAAGGAAAAACUGCAGCUAUGCACCAAUAAAACUUUAUCUACAAACACAGGCAGCUGUCUGGAUUUUUCCCGUGGGCUACCAUUUACUAAUCCCUGAACCUCCAGAGGAAGACUGACCAAUCCUCUGCCUGGCAGUUCCCAAGAGGCAUCUCACACUCGGAAGUCACUAAAGAAAGUUAGGAAGAGCACAGACCUCUUGCUAGACCAGAAGGAAGAGAAAGAAAUAAGGAAUAUCUGGACCUGUUGAGGAUUCAGUGGGAUAAAAUGAAUUGAUGCCUCACUUUACAAAAAUUUCCAGGUCUUCUCUGUCAUUUUUCUCUGCACUUUUAGUAAAAUUUUGGAGACUGUGGAAAACCUGAGGUUCUCUCUGAAGACAUCUCCUCUUAGAAACAAAUUCCUAGCCAGCGUGGUGGCUCACGCCUGUAAUCCCAGCACUUUGGGAGGCUGAGGCGGGCGGAUCACUUGACGUCUGGAGCUCAAGACCAGCCUGGCCAACAUGUAGAAACCCCGUCUCUACUAAAAAUACAAAAAAUUAGCUGGGCGUGGGGGUGGGCACCUGUAGUCCCAGCUACUCAGGAGGCUGAGACAGGAGAAUUGCUUGAACCCAUGAGGCGGAGGUUGCAGUGAGCUGAGAUCGCGCCACUGCACUCCAGCUUGGGUGACAUAGUGAGACUCCGUCUCAAACAAACAAACAAACAGACAAACGAACAAGAAACAAAUUCCUGCUUCUAGGUUUCGCAGAAAGGAAGGAGAUUAACAUUCUGCUUCCAAAGUUCUUCCCCUCCCCCUUCCCCCUCAACAACUGUAGUCCUCUCAUGGAAGGCCAGACAAGCAGAUGUAUGUAACUGUCCACUUCUGCCCAUAUUGUUGGCUCUGCUACUCAGGAAAUAAGAAAAAUCACGCUGGGUCUCCAGCUCCUCUGGAAGCAUGAACCAGGAUGCACAUUCUCCCCUGGGACCACCUCAAAGGGAUUGUGCCUCUUAUCACCAACCUGGAGGGACUCACAGAUGAAUGAUGCUGACAAGUCUUGCAGUAAUUUCUUGCCCCGAACUGGGAAACUGAAUGCCAGUAGGUGCAUGCAUUACCUACUGUCUGCCGUCACUCAGAGAGCUGCGCUAAGGAUGACCAGGGCAGAGUUGUGGGAACUGCCAUCUUCUUCUGCAGGAGGGCUCACUCAAGUCUGAUAUGCCUAAGAAUGUAACGACUUUUGAAUUUUGAGCUUCCUCCUUAAGACCUGGAUUUAGACCAAUAAUCCUCAAGGACUCCUGUUCAAUAACAGUCCAGUUUCCUGGGAAUGGUGAAGAAGGGUGUGAGGUGUUCAGGUCAAAGGCAGAUAAAGUAGGAGGAAAGGAAGAGAAGGAGGGAAAGAAAGGAAAGGAAAAAAGGACAGACAAGACAAUGGCCUGGGCCAGGGAGCACUUCAAACCACAAAGAAGUGACUAGAUUGCUGUUUUUCUUUCUGCUUCAUCCCAGAAUGUCUCUCAUUACUAUUAGUGGCAAAAACCGCAAUUACUUUUGCACCAACCUAAAUAACCUGUACUCAAGGCAAUGAAAUUUCCCAAUGUCCUGGAGUUCUAAAAUCAUUUUUAAUAUACAGUCAGAAGGACUUGGGUCAAUUGAGUGUGAAAAUAACAUAAGACAGAGCGUCCCCCAGGCCUGCUGGAUGAUAAACCACUAUGCAAAAAUAGAAAAUAUCAGAAGUAGGAUUUUAGACAGAAAACACAUUUCACAAAAUACAGCAUGUAUUUAAAAUAAAUAAAAAUAUUAUUAAUUAGAACCGAGCAUGGUGGUCCGCACCUAUAGUCCCAGCUACUCAGGAGGCUGAGGGAGGAGGAAUGCUUGAGCCCAGGAGUUCAAGUCUAGCCUCAGCAACAUAGCAAGACCCUAUCUCUUAAAAAUAUAUAUGAACAAAUAAAAAUAAGAACCACAUCAUCUUGAGAUCUUUGUAUUGGCCAGAUGCCACGUGAGGUGCUUUCUAUAAAUAGUCUGUGAAAACAUCUCAGGAGUUCUCUGAGGUGGGAACCGUCACCAUCCUAUUCUCCAAGUCAGGAACCAGUGGGAUGAGUGAGGUGGACUUCGCCAGGAGUCCUGAGGUGGGCAUAUAGGAGGCAGGGCUUGAGCCCAGGCUGUACCCACACCACAGAAUCAGCAGCCCUGGCAGCAGCUCCACUUGUCUACCGGACCACACACUUUACCCUCAUGUUCUUCGUAACUCCAUAAGGAAGGGACUAGGCUUUUCCAACCCUCAUUUUGCAGAUGAGGAAACUGAGUUUCAAAGUGGCCCUGACAAACCCCAAGGUCACUGAAGGCUGGCAGGGGCAGAGCUGGAAUUCCAGCACAAAUAUUGUGGUCUGGAGGCCCGCAGUUGAUAGGCUCUCUCCUUCCAGGGGGUCCUCCCUGAGUCCCUAACCUUUACGCCACCAUUUCUCAAAGGAGCCAAGCUGGUCCUUGAGCCAACCUGGGGUGGCUUUGCUGACCCCUCACAGCUUCCGCAGAAGGGCAGUGUCUCUGGGGACGCCUGCUGGGGACAAGUCACUGCCUCCCUCUUUCUUUAAUGCCAACAGCUCUCGAACCCCCACGUGCAGGAGGAGAGCUGCCCUGACUCCACUGCUGGCUUCACUCCUUUCCCACAUGGAUAAAACCUGAGGUUAGAAAACACCGCUCAGAAGUGACUCAUUCCUGACUUCCCUGCCAAAAACAACACCCAUUUACGUAACUUGCUCACACACCAAUCUUUUCCUCCUCCUCAGGGUGACUGCCCUGUCAAACCAAGGCUGAUCUUCCUCACAAACUGGCCUUCCAUUUCCAGCAGAGGCAAAUCAAAUUGCCCUUUCCGCCCUCAUCUCUUUGCUAACUGGGGUCAGAGAUAGCCCAACCAACGUGUCCCUCCCACACUGUGUUGGUGACUUCCGGAAGGGAUGUGAGAUUUCCUAUCUAACACUUGUUCUUGGGCUGAUUUCUUAAGCCAACCUCAAAAAAAAAAAAAGAGUGUGGUGUAGGAAAGGCCUCAUGAACCAGGGAUCACUCUCUCUGCUGAAUUUGCAGGCCAGUUUCCUGACGGAGCACUUCUCACAUUUUCCAUCUCUAGCUGCUUACGUGCAGAAAAGAAAACCCUUUUCGGGUGUGUCUGUAGACUAGACUUUGGCAUAGGAAUAGACGUGGGCAGCCAUUUGAUACAUGAAAUUCCCAGUGCUUCUGAAACCAGAAGCAAUUAGUCCAAAAAAAUGUUUAACUAUCUAUCCCCAUAAUGUGCUAGGAGGUUCUCUAUGGUCAUGUCAGCAUAUAUAUCCCAAAACAUCUGUAUUGGCUUAAAAAAAACAAAAAUAAAAAACGAGGUAUGUCCAAAGAUAGCCUGUCCUCCUCUUCAUUCCAGGUAAGGACAGCCCCUGUCCUUCUGUAAGGAAGAGGAAGCGAAGGGAACUUCCCCCAGGCGCUGGUGGGAACAUCUUAGGAGGAAGGAACAUAGAAAUUGGCAAGGACUCGAAGGACGGAUAUGAAAGUGCCGUGAGCCCUGCUGAGCCCCAUGUGUGCCAAAAAUUAAUUCAUAAGCAAAUGCUUAUUUUAUAGUUUCCCACUUGCUACAAAACAUCAAGCCACAAGGAAAUAUUUCUUCUGGGGGCUGACAGGAAGCGGGUGGCACCAGAGUGGGGAGAAAGAAAGCCGGAAGUUCUCUUCAAGACAAGCGUGAUCCUAUCACCUGACAACGUGUCACCCGUUUCUGGAAAAUCCACGGGCUGUGGUACUGUCUCCUUGUUCCCAUAAGCGGAGGGUUCAAUGUGAAGCCUGCUCUGAUGGCAGCCAGGUAGGAGAAGUCUGGGAGUCACGAUCUACCCUCAGAUGUUAUCACCAUUGCAGGAGCCGGGGCAGGAAGAAAAGAUGCUGGGAGACCUGGGGACACCACCCCUGGGAGUCCAUUAUGCCAGACUGGGAAGUAACCUGUAUUUGGCUUCCAGGCAUUUCAGGGCUUUAGGUGAUGAUGUGAUGGAUGACAGGGUUUCAUAAUAAGGGAGCAAACCCUCCAUGAGAGUGCCUAGCAAGCACUGUAUGUCAUUAUUUGUGGAUUCCCAUAAAUUGAAUCCUCUAGGGUCUGGACAAUGAAAUCUAGAAUUUCUGGAGUGCUGUGAUUCCCAGUGAGCUUAUCCUAAGGCAGGACUGAAUUUUCUUACAACAUCCAAAAGGAGAAAGACAAGAGUCAACACUUUUGCAAAGAAGGGAUUUAGUAUCCAGGGAGAUCCAAACUCCUCAACUGCAGAGACAAUGGUGUCUCCCUUUCCUGCAGCUGUAGCAUCCAGCUUGGGGGCCUGGCUGACCCAUGGUAGGUGCUCAAUCGAUUAUAAUGGGGGUGGUGGUGAGGAAGCCAGUCCCCAAAGGUGGUCCCCAACAAUUCUCUCUUUUUAUACAUGUACCCUCCUCACAAUAAGAGGUGGAGUUUUUCUCCCCGCCUUUGAAAUGGGGCUGGCCUCAUGUCUGGCUUUGACCAAUAGAAUGUGAUAGAAGUGAUAUUCUAGGAAUUCUAAACCCAGGCUUUGAAAAGGCUAGUAGCUUCCACUUCCUGCUUCUUGAAACACUGUUUCUCAGAACCCAGUCACCAUGUUCUAAGAAGCCCAAACCACACAGAGAACCAAGGCACUCCAGGCAGUACCCCCAGCUGAGCUCUCAGCAAAGGACCAGCACCAAUGGCCACAGUCAUAUGAGUGACCACGUAAGCUGUUCUAAGACCAGUCAACCCCCUGAUGGUUGCAGACCCAGCCAAGAUCACACAGAGCAAAAGAACCACCCAGCUGAGCCCAAGCUCACAGAAUCAUGCUAGGCACCAAAAUGGCCAUUGCUUUAGGCUAUUAAAUUUUUAGGUGGUUAUUCAGUGACAGAUAACUACAGGUGGAGGUGGGACGGACAAGAGGUACAGGAUAUUUUAUCAUGGGUUUUGUCCAGCUCUGGAACUCUGAGUAAGUCAUAACCUCCUUGAGUUUCUGUUUCCUUGAGCCACUGUGCCCAGCGUUCCCUAAAUAUUUUAAAUCUGCAGUUGGUUGAAUCCACAGAUGCAGAACCGACAAACACAGAGGGCAGACUGUAUACAUUUCUGGAACUGUGUAGGCCUGCCUGCUUCCCUGCAACUCCCCUUUCUACCACCUGUCAUCAGGAAACAUGGAUCUCAAGAAGGCCAGCUGACCACAGACCCAUUUCCCUUCCUGAGACCCUCCAUGGUGCACCGAACAGGAAGUGACCGUGCUCCACCAGCUCCGGCAAGAACCCACCAUGUCUUCAGUGGAGCAAAGCAUCUCAGCAAUCAUUAAUUGCCACACUGUGGUCUUAGCCCAAGUCAGGCUCACUUCCCAGCUGGCCACUUACUACUCUGAACCAACUUCUCAACAGCAAGACGAAACUCUGAAUCACUCCCCCUGGGGCUUCAAGGUUCCUGUCCUUAACUGGCCCCAGACACAACCCUAGUUCCACAUCAUUUUCUCCAGAGAAAGAGAAGCUUGGGGCCAAGGGGCUCUGACAAGUCAAGUCUAGGCUAGAAGGCAUUUUCCUGGAACCAUCGGCCUCCUGUGAGACACUGGGUUAGACUGGGCCCCCCAGGGGUCACAGAAGCGGGGAGGAGAAAACAGCAUGUGCGUGCGGCCACACCCGCACCCUUCCAUCCUGGCAUGGAUCCACAGGCCCCCACACCACCCCUGCGUUCCCCCAAGAGAAAACAUCCCUGCUCCACACGUGGCUGAACUGCGGUAACUCCAUCAUGGCAUUUCAUCUACAGCCUGGGUGUAUGAGUAAUAAAUGUGUGAAACCAUGAAACUAAUAUUCAUAAUGACCUUACAAGAUAAAGAACUUGAAGGAAAAACAGCUUCUGUGUGCCUGGCCGUCACCAUCAGGGUGCUCCGUGAAAAACAUGGCAUCUCACCAGAGCCACAGACAUCGUCUCCCCAGGAGCCUCAGUGCUGGCGGCCCUCAGCCCCACCAGCCACUAUACUUCAUUGUUAGUCCUUAAUUAAUGGUGCCUUUGUGCACCUGGUCAUCCCGAUGCCAAGCCCAGAACCGAAUGGGGCCUCUGACUUCUCUUCCACGUCUAAUCAGACGCCAUUUCAGCCAACAUUUACCAAGUAUCAGCAGGUCCAGGCCUGGGCCUGGUGCAAGGAGUGACAGGGUCUCUGUUUGUGACAUCCUGUCCCUCACCCCCACCCCUUUAGUCCCAGCAAGGUUCAGAGUCUCAUUCCCUGCCCUCAUUUCUUUUAUUUGUUGAUUGACAUAUAACAUAGGUACAGUAAAGCACACUAAUUUUAAGCAUAUGGCUUACUGAGUUGUUGUUUUUUUUCUUUUUUAAACUUUUAUUUUAAAUUCAGGGUUGCAAUUGCAGGUUACAUAGGUAAGCUUGUGUCACUGGGGUUUAUCACAUAGAUUGCUUCACCACUCUGGUAUUAAACCUAGUACCCAUUAGUUAUUUUUCCAUCCUCUCCCUCCUUCCGACCUCCACCUUCCGAAAAGCCCCAGUGGGCGUCGUUCCCCCUAUAAGUGUCCAUGUGUUCCUGUCACUUAGCUCCCACUUAUAACUGAGAACAUGCGGUAUUUGAUUUUCUGUUCCUGUGUUAUUUUGCUAAGGAUAAUGGUCUCCAGCUCCAUCCGUGUCCCAGCAAAGGAUACGAUCACGGAGUUUUAAACAUGUGCACAGUCAUGUAACCACCACCCAAACAAAGAGGUCGAAUAUGUUUCCAGCACCCAGAGAGCUCUCUUGUGCCAUUAUGAGAAAAUAUCCUCUCCCAAGAUAUGAACUCUUUUAUCAGAGAUUUAAGUUCAGGUUCUCAUCAGCUCUUCCACAAAUUACUGCCCAUUAACUUUUUAAUUCUUAGACUGCCUCCUUGGGACCCUGCUUUCCUCAGUUUACCUGUCCUCUACUGCCAGGUGUAUAGUCCUCCGUUACAGCUCCAAAGCCCCUUGGAGGGCUGCACUGCUCCUAUAUAUGAACCCCAACCCCCAUCCAAGGCCCUUCACUUCUACAUAGCACUCCUCGGUCUGAAAGACCCAACCGCUGUUCUGGAAACCCAACUGCUGCUCUCACACCUCUGGGCCCUCUCUACCAUGGAAUAUGACAAAGAUUCCUUAUGCCCCAGGUCCAUGCCCAAUUUCCCCCUUUCAGUCCCAUGUCCAUCCUUGAAAGCCCAUUUCAUCCACAGACCGUCUGCAGGCUCCCCAGAGAGAUGCUGGUCCUUCUUCCUUGGUGGUUCCCCGGCAUCACUUCUACUUCUUGGAGGGCACUAAAUGUCAUCCUUGAGACAUAGCAUCGUAUGUGCACAUCCACGUAUCCUUGUUAGAGGUUCAAUUUCUUGAGGACUGAGAUUCUGGGAUUUCUCAAACUGGUAAAGCUUUGAAAUUUGGGGAAGGGAAGGAAUAACAACCUAGGGUUUCCAACUUCUAAUUUGGCCAACAGAAAAAAAAAAUCUAUCAUCCAUAAUCAACACCAUUUCAUUAAAGAAGACACUGUGGCUAAGGAUAAAGAUUGGAGAGAUAUAAUCUCAGAAAAAAAUGGCCAGGUCUUCAACCUGAAUCCAUUGGUUUAUGAAAAGUUCACCACAUUGUCCUCAUUUUCCACACUUGACUAUGCCUGGAGAAAAUCCUCACAGACGAACUGGCUCCCAUGUCUGGAAACCACUGCCCCAUCAUCGCCCCUGGUAUAGCAGCACAUACGCAGAAAGGGCUCAAUGACUAUUCAGUUCAACUGCUCUAAUCACAGGAAAUCAUGUGGUUCUAAGACAAGGAGCAUUUCAGCUCUGCUUCCUCCCAACACAGGAGCCCAGAACACAGCAGUGGCUGGGCAACAUUCCAUUGAUGAGAAGGACUGCAGGACCCACCCACACACACAUGACAAAAUAAAAAGCAAUCCCAACGUGUACGACUCGUGCCCACGUGACAACUUAGACAAGCAGUGGGCCUUGCCACUGGCCCAGGUGCCUCACUCAUUGUCCCAAAUCCCAACCUGGUGCAACACGUGACAAUGAACUUCAAAAGUGUACGUUGGGGGAAGCGGGGAUUGGAAGGCGAAAGAAAAGGGCCACCGCAGUUGGCUGCACAGGUUGUGCCAAGGCACAAGGGUGCUGGCUGGAGGAGCAGGCAGGGACUGAAAUCUCACCUGUGCUGCACCUGCCAAGCCAGGCACCCUGGCCGGGGGCACACUGACUCACAGGAAGAAACGCCCUUUACAAAGUUGCACAAAGAACCAAGACUUCAUUAACCGAGACUCCGAAUUUCAGUUCAAGGCCAAGAAUAUGUCAGGUCAAAUAUAUACAUCAGGGUGAAUUUUACAGUAUGUGGAUUAUAUCUCAAUAAAGCUUUUAUCAAAACAUAUGUGUGUGUGUAUGUGUACACGAGUCUGUACAUAGAUACACGUCCAAAAAAAAAACUCUUAUUCAGAGAGCUAACAAAGAAGGAAGAGUGCAUAAAGGAGGUAUUAAAAAUAUUUAAAGGGAUCAUAUAUAAAAGUUAUGUUAUUUAUGUAUUAUUAAAAUUCAUGUUCUAAGAUGACUGUUGUGGAAGAAAAAAUCAUGAAAAUUGUUUUUUAAG